UGCAGUCUGGCGUGGUGGCAUAAUGGUGCUCCAAUCUUUGUUGGACAUUCUCGGUUUGUGUUCUUGUUUGCAAUUGUGCAUUGGCAGUUCUGUUUCAUAUAUACAGCACAGAAUCUAUUGGUUCGUGUGUUGGCGUGUAAAAAACCUAGAUUGGCUUGUGAUCUUAGACGCAAUAGUAAAUUAGUAAUGUUUGCAAUCAUAUUAUGAACAUAUUAUACACUUUUCUUCUGAACUGAGUGUAAAGCUGUUAUGUUGAUAAUGGCAAUUGCCAUCCGAUUCUUCACUAUAGUUUGCUGCAAAUGCUAAUGUUGAUGUUCUUGUGCAAUUCGCUUUGUGAAUUUCACACCUCUUUAUGAUGGAUCAAUCUCCAGAAUACUGUGUUUCUAGAUCUUAGAGAUUGCCAUGGCAAUGCAAAGAUGCCAUAAACACAUACAUACUCCUACAUUUCCUGUCUUUCUAGAUGAUAGAUUGCCAUGACAAUGCAAAAGAUGCCACCAACACAGCAAUCCUCUGUUUCUAGAUGGUAGAUUGCCAUGACAAUGCAUAAGAUGCAAUCAAAUCAACACGACAAUCCUGUGUUUCUAGAUGGCAGAUUGGGAUGGCAAUGCAAAAGAUACCAUCAACACAUAUGCUCGUUUACUCUCUUUCUUAAUGGUUUAUAAUGAUUAGACUGCAGCUGAAUGCAUAUUGUUGCUUUCCCUUCAUUUGCCUUUCCUUGACUGAGCAGAGACGCUGGCAGUGCUCCUGUACCCAUCCUGCCCAGCUACGUCUGUAUUGGUUAUUUGUGCAUCGCCUGCAUGGCAUGAUGAUACCCAAGGCCCACUGUUUGUUCAACAUUCUUGCUGUUCUUUGCUUGCAGUUAUGCAUUGGCAAUUCUGUUUAUAUAUAUAAUGUGAGGAAAUAUGAAAACGGAAAUGGAAAUGAAAUUCUUUAUGCGGAAACGGAAACAAAAACGAAAUGGUGUUUUCUGGUGGAACACACGUGGAAACAGAACUUUCCGUUUCCGUUAAUAUGGAAUUUCCGUGUCUACUAUAGGCCCACGGCUGCUUUGUAGCCCAACUACCAAACAACACGCAAUGACACAAUGAGUAGAAUGAGCAAAAUGUAUCAUUUGAGUACCAAUGUUUACUACCACACACAUACUCAGCUAGACCCUAUACGGAAUUGUCAUGUACUACUACAAUACUACCCUAUCUUACCAACAUGACCAUAUUAUUUUGUAGCCAUGUUAACAAUUCCAUCAAUUUGUUUGUAUUUUGUCUGUAUUUCUCCAUGAUUCAAGGGGGCUUUAAGUUCCGGUCAACACACAGUUUUGUUUUCGUGUCCGCUUUGUAUUCGCUUCGGGUUUGUUUCCGGUAGUAUCUGUUUUCGUAUUCGUUUCUGGGGUUUCUGUAUUCGUUUCCGUUUCUACAAAAAAUAUGAAAACAAAUAUGGCAACACCCAGUUCGAUCCGUUUCCGUGCUGUUUUCAUCCCUAUGCAGUAUCUAUUGGUUUGUCUGUUGGCCUGUUUAAAAAAAUUACUCCCUUGGUUCACUAUUAUAAGAUAUUCUAGCUUUUUUUUUCUAUGUAGACACGUUUUAGUGUGUUUGUUCAUUAAUUUUCAGUCUGUAUGUAGUCCAUAUUGAAAUAUCCAAAACAUCUUAUAAUAGUGAAUGAAGGGAGUACUAGAUUGGCUUCUGACCUUCAACUCAUAGUAACAUGUAGUGAACAUAUUCCGCUUUUUAAAAUCUGAAUUGAGUUGGCAAUUAGCAAGGUGGUGGUGUUUAUUUAUGAAAAUGAAGGUGUUAUGUGUUCAUAAUGGUCGUUGCCAUCCGAUUCUUGAUUAGUUUGCUUGCAAAUGCUAAUGUUGACCUUGUGACUUCUGCACCUCUUCACGAUGUAUGAAUCUCCACAAUCCUUUGUGAUGCUUCUAGGAUGUCCAUGCAAACCACCUGUAUAUCUAGAUGCUGGAUUGCCAUGGCAGUUCAAAAGAUACCAUCAACACUGUUCUUGUGUUCUCUUGUACUAGUAUGAUAUGAUUGCUGCAGCUGGACUGCGUAUGUUGCCUUCCUUUCUUUUGCCUCCCUUUGUCGGUGCUAUGGCCUGUAUAAUGAUGUCGCUUCAGUGGAUAUCAUGUUAGUCGCGCCCCGUCGCUGGAGAUCAUGUUGUCCAGAAACUUUGUUGUUAUGAUAAUUGUUGGAAUUUAGAAGGCCCCAUUUGGGAAUAUGGGGUCGUUGAACACACUGGAGUAAUCUGGUGCUUUUCUUUGGGCACAAAUCUCUGUGGCGCUUGAUCCAAACUACUGAAGGAACAUGAGCGUGCUCCUCCCUUUCUGCCUUGGUGGUGCGAUGACAGAGGAUCAUCAGUCAAUUCACCAUGAUGUUCGCAAGCUUCAUGCUGGGAUUUGCAUGAGACAUGAAUUUCUUUUUUUGACGAAAAGGCAGAACCACUGCUUGUCAUUGCAUACAGACGAAAAAAAUGUUACAAAGCAAGAUUACAGAGGGGGAGGGGGGAAUACAAAGCAUCAUAUUAGUCUGGUUCUAGAGGUCUCUUUACUAUUGCCAAGACACCGCUGUCCAUCAUCAACCCAGUCCUGGGCCUCUAACUGAAUUUUUUCGAACAACCUUAUAAUAGAGGUACACAUGUUCCUGAAAAUUCUUUCGUUUCUCUCUUUCCAUAGCAUCCACCAUACGAGGGCCAUGACCGAUCUCCACGACUUCGCCGUCUCCUUCCUUGUUCAUACCUUGAGAAGAGUGUUGCCACCAGUCUAUCAUGUCUUCAUUGCCAUUAAUAUUCAGCCUCCUCCAAUCAUGUCUUCAUUGCCAUUGAUAUUCAGGCUCUGGGGGAGGUCCAGCUUGCUGAUUGCAAGUGCCAAAUCUCCUUGGCGUAGGGGCAAACUGAAAGGAGGUGGGAGGCACUUUCGGGAGAUUGCAAGCACAAGGUGCAUGCGGGAUUAUGUGGCCAACCUCUCUUAGCCAGGUUAUCAGCGGUAAAACACUUUCCUUGAGCCGCGAGCCACACAAAAAAAAUGACAUUUUGGCGGCGCGUCCGAGCUCCAGGUAAGUUUGGCGAAGAGCGACUUGAUCCGUGCCGACAACAUGGCAACAGAAGCAGAAGCAGUCGAGAAAGAAACAUUAGCUGUCCACCGCCAGGUCAAGGAGUCAGGCUGGUCCGGGAUGAGGUGGUUGUGCUGCACAACAUUCCAUAGGCUCGAGAACUGAUCGAUAGAGGCAGUUGAGAGGUUGGCUUUGAGGUGUCUCAUCCAUUUGUCACCCAUUAAAGUGGCCUUGUCACUUCUAGUUUUGAGAGUGCAUUCUUGAACAAAUCUGGGAAUUUUGUGCGGAAGCUUUCCCUAUUAUGCCAAGGGUCGGUCCAGAACUGAGUUAGGCCCACAUCUCCAAUGGAGAAAUCCACCGAAGCCUCAAAGUAAGAACGAACAAAUCUGUCCAUAGGGAGCGACAAGCCGAUCCAAGGUUUUGAAGUGUCCAUCCAGGAGAGCCAUAGCCAUCUACAUCUCAUCGCAAUACUUUUUUGAUUCAAACACGGGAUACCAAGGCCACCAAGUUGUUUUUGGGGAGACAUACCUGCUUCUAAUUCACCAUGCCUCCAGUUGUAGUAUCCUUGUCCACCCACAAGAAACCACGACAACACUUAUCAAAUUUCUUGACAGCCCAACCAGGCGGGUCAAUGGCCAUGAUCUGAAAUAAUGGAAGUGCAUAAAGCACCGAGGUGACAAGAGACAGCCUCCCAGCCAUGGGCAAGUUGAGCUUGUUUCCACCCGGAAGUGUUGCGGUGGAGUUUAUAAAAAAACCGGCUGGUAAUGCACUCUUUGCAGGCGAGAAUAGCUAAGAGGCAUGCCCAGGUAAGUGACGGGAAAUUCCUUGACUGGGCAGCGCAGGAGUGCAACAAGCUCUAGGAGAUUGAUGUCAUCAUCACAACGAAUGUGGCAGAAGCUGUUCUUGAGAAAGUUUGUCCUUAGGCAGCUUGCAUUGUCGAAGGCAUCUAGAAUAGGUUUAGCCGCAGUGAUCUCACGGGUAGUUGGCCUGACAAACAUCAUCACAUCGUCUGCACAUAAUUAGAUUCCGAGGUUAGGUAUGCAGCGGCCAAAAGGGGCCAGCAUGCCAGCUUGCACCAUUGUAUGCACCAUUACAUCAAGCAAGUCCAUGACAAGGAUGAAAAGCAGCGGUGAAAGUGGGUCACGCUGCCUAAGGCCCUUGCGAUGAACAAUUUUCUUAGAAAGCUCGCCAUUGACAAGAACCCGAGUGGAAGAAGAAGCAAGCAUCACAACAAUCUAGUUUCUCCACUUUUGUCCAAAACCUUUCGCAAUGAGGACCUCAACCAGGAACUACCAAGAGACACUAUCAAACGCCUUUUCAAUAUCCAGUUUCAACAUCAUGGAAGGGAUUUUCUUCAGGUAUAGCGAUCCGACCAUUCCUUUAACAAAGACAAAAUUGUGUUGGAUUGCUCUGCCCUUGAUGAAUGCACUCUACGAAGGAAGCUCUAGGUUUUUCAUCAUUGUUGCAAUCUUCUUGCAAAGACCUUUAUGAUAAUCUUCGCAGAAAAGGAGAGCAGGCUAAUAGGCCUAUAGUCUUUAGCUUCUUCCACAUCUGCUCCCUUGGCGAUGAGAAUGAUGAUUGCAUUGUUAAGACUAGCAAGGUUUCAGACGUUGCAACACUCAAAAGACUUGCUCACCAGCAUGACAUCCCCUUUUACAAUGUCCAACACUUUUGGAAGAACAGUGUCAUGAAUCCAUCAGGCCCAUGGGCUUUUCUUGGGUUUAGGUCCAUAAUUGCAACCUUAACCUCCUGCUCAGUGAAGGGGCACUCCAGCCUAGAGAGAUCUUUUUGGUUUAUGCCCAAUUCAGAGAAAUUCUUACACCAACCCCUCUAUUUCUUAGUUCCAAGGGUCAAGGAGAAAUGCUCCCAGAUAGCUUGCAACUUUUCAUCAUGGCUAGUCACCACCGUACCAUUAUGCUUAAUACUAAGGAAAAAAUUCAGUGCUCGCAUCACCGUCUUUCAACCAAUCAAUUCUGGCCCUUUUCCGCCAAUGAGCUCGCUGGAUCGCUGCAAUGCCUAGAAGAUUCAUUUUCAGGGAUGCUCGAAGUCGAAGCUCAUUGCUAGUGAGAUCUCUUUCUUCCAUAGCCCCAUCCAACUGUUGGGAAACGUAGCAUGCAAUUUCAAAAAAAUUCCUACGCUCACGCAAGAUCUAUCUAGGAGAUGCAUAGCAACGAAAGGGGGAGAGUGUGUCCACGUACCCUCAUAGACCGAAAGCGGAAGCGUUUGACAACGCGGUUGAUGUAGUCAAACUUCUUCUUGUUUCAACCGAUCAAGCACCGAAACGUACGACACCUCCGAGUUCUGCACACGUUCAGCUCGAUGAUGUCCCUCGAACUCUUGAUCCAGCAAAGUGUCGAGGGAGAUUUCCGUCAGCACGAAGGCGUGGUAACGGUGAUGGUGAAGUGAUCCACGCAGGGCUUCGCCUAAGCACUACAAAGAUAUGACCGGAGGUGUAAUCUGUGGAGGGAGGCGCCGCACAUGGCUAACAGAUGUUGUUGUGUGUUCUAGGCGCCUCUUCCUCGCAUAUAUAUAGGUUGGAGGGAGAGGGAGCAGCUAAGGAGGCACCCAAGUAGGAGGAAUCCUACUUGGGGCCCUAGUCCUAUUCGCCCCCCUUACCAUAAUUUCCGGAGGGGGAAAGAAGGAGGAGGGAGGAGGGAAGGAAAUGGGAGGCCGAAUCCCUCCCCUUCCUUUCUCUCUUCCCCUCUUUCCUUCCCCUCCAGGUCCGACCUAUAUGGGGGGCGCAAAAGCCCAUGCUGGCUGAUGCGUUUCCCCUCUUGGCCCAUUAGGCCCAUAUAGUUGCUGGGGGGGGGGGGGUGCCUGGAACCCGUUCCGGUGACCCGAUAUGUACCCGGUACCCCCAAAAUACUUCCGGUGUCCAAAUAUCAUUGUCCUAUAUAUGAAUAUUUAUCUCUCGAUCAUUUCGAGACUCCUCGUCAUGUCUGUGAUCUCAUCCGGGACUCCGAACAACAUUUGGUCACCAAAUCAGAUAACUCAUAUAAUACAAAAUCGUCAUUGAACAUUAAUCGUGCGGACCCUACGGGUUCGAGAACUAUGUAGACAUGACCGAGACACCUCUCCGGUCAAUAACCAAUAGCGGAACCUGGAUGCUCAUAUUGGUUCCCACAUAUUCUACGAAGAUCUUUAUCGGUCGUAUCAUAAUGACAACAUACGUUAUUCCCUUUGUCAUCAGUAUGUUACUUGCUCGAGAUUCGAUCGUCGGUAUCUUCAUAUCUAGUUCAAUCUUGUUACCGGCAAGUCUCUUUACACGUUCCGCAAUACAUCAUCCCGCAACUAACUCAUUAGUCACAUUGCUUGCAAGGCUUAUUAUGAUGUCCAUUACCGAGAGGGCCCAGAGAUACCUCUCCGAUACUCGGAGUGACAAAUCCAAAUCUCGAUCUAUGCCAACCCAACAAACACCUUCGGAGAUACCUGUAGAGCAUCUUUAUAAUCACCCACUUACGUUGUGACGUUUGAUAGCACACAAGGUAUUCCUCCGGUAUCCGGGAGUUGCAUAAUCUCAUAGUCAAAGGAAUAUGUAUUUGACAUGAAGAAAGCAGUAGCAAUAAAACUGAACGAUCAAUAUGCUAAGCUAACAGAUGGGUCUUGUCCAUCACAACAUUCUCCUAAUGAUGUGAUCCCGUUCAUCAAAUGACAACACAUGUCUAUGGUUAGGAAACUUAACCAUCUUUGAUUAACGAGCUAGUCUAUUAGAUGCUUACUAGGGACAUGGUGUUUUGUCUAUGUAUCCACACAUAUAUCAAGUUUUCGGUUAAUACAAUUCUAGCAUGAAUAAUAAACAUUUAUCAUGAUAUAAGGAAAUAUAAAAUAACAACUUUAUUAUUGCCUCUGGGCAUAUUUUCUUUAGUCUCCCACUUGCACUAGAGUCAAUAAUCUAGUUCACAUCGCCAUGUGAUUUAACUCCAAUAGUUCACAUCUUUAUGUGAUUAACACCUGUCGGUGUCAAAACCGGCGGAUCUCGGGUAGGGGGUCCCGAACUGUGCGUCUAAGGUGGAUGGUAACAUGAGGCAGGGGCAGGGGACACGAUGUUUACCCAGGUUCGGGCCCUCUCGAUGGAGGUAAUACCCUACGUCCUGCUUGAUUGAUCUUGAUGAUAUGAGUAUUACAAGAGUUGAUCUACCACGAGAUCGUAGAGGCUAAACCCUAGGAGAAGCCCUGCCUAUGGUAUGAUUGUAUGUUGUCCUAUGGACUAAACCCUCCGGUUUAUAUAGACACCGGAGGGGGCUAGGGUUACACAAAGUCGGUUACAAGGGAGGAGAUCUACAUAUCUGUAUUGCCAAGCUUGCCUUCCACGCCAAGGAGAGUCCCAUCCGGACACGGGACGAAGUCUUCAAUCUUGUAUCUCCAUAGUCCAACAGUCCGGCCAAAGGAUAUAGUCCGGCUGUACGGAGACCCCCUAAUCUAGGACUCCCUUAGUAGCCCCUGAACCAGGCUUCAAUGACGAUGAGUCCGGCCCGCAGAUUUGUCUUCGGCAUUGCAAGAUGGGUUCCUCCUCUGAAUACUCCAUAGAAGAUUUUGAACACAAGGAUGGUGUCCGGCUCUGCAAAACAAGUUCCACAUACCACCGUACAGAGAAUAAUAUUUCCACAAAUCUAAUCUGCUGACACGUUUAGCAAGAUGACAUCAUGCCAUGGCCCGGUCAUUAUUCGAACCGUUUUUCUUCAACCAGCACCACAUAUCGCGAGGCGGUUUCCUUGACACGUCUUGUCGAAGCAGAGAUCGUGUCCCCUUAUCGCGGGAUUCUCAUCAAUACGGGUACGGGUAACCCAACCGUGCUAUCAAUUACGGCGUUCGGGGAAUAAGCGAUUUUACUAGGUAAGUGGGGAGGCACACCGCCUCUUCCGCCCUUAUAAAGGGGACAAAGAUUCACCCUUUUUACCCACGCCUUCUUCCUUCUUGCUUAUCCAUUCUCGCACACUCAAGCUCUAGCGCCCAAGUUUGCGUCUUUCUCCUCAAACCACUCCAAGCAUGUCCGGAGCGGGAGGCAAGUGGAUGGUCUCCUCCGUCACGGAGGAGAACAUCACAAAGCUACGGGAAGCCGGAUAUCUGGCCGCGGAUAUCGUGCACCGGCUGCCAGAUGCGGGGCAGAUCAUCCCUACGCCCGAAUCCCAUGAGAGGGUAGUUUUCUUACCCACUUUGUCCGCGGACUGGGAUUUCCCCUUCACCCGUUUGUCCGCGGGCUCAUGUUCUACUACGGGCUGGAUUUUCAUGAUCUUGCCCCCAAUUUCAUCCUCAACAUCUCGGCGUUUAUCGUCGUGUGCGAGGCCUUCCUCCGCAUCAGGCCCCACUUCGGCCUGUGGCUGAAGACCUUCAAUGUCAAACCGAAGGUGGUGGUCGGCCAGCAAGCAGAGUGCGGAGGCGCCAUGGUGGGCAAAAUGCCUAACAUCACCUGGCUCGAAGGCUCCUAUGUGGAGACCAUAAAGGGGUGGAAAUUGGGGUGGUUCUACAUCACCGAGCCGCGUGACACCAACUGGGUGGCGGCCCCCAAAUUUUGAUCCGGAAUCCCCACACGGCUCACUUCCUGGAAAGAGAAGGGCCUGUCCUGGGGUUCCUCGGUAGAGCUGACCGGACUCCAGACCUGCAUCAGGAACAUGAUGAGCAAGAAAAUCAAGCUCGUCAACGUGGUCCAGGUCAUGCUCUUCCGCCGGAUCCUCCCGUGUCAACGAUGGGCAUUCAAUUUGUGGGAGUUCGACCUGGCCAAGCACCAGACGCUGCGAGAGCUCUUCGACACGAUGCACAAGGACGUCUGGAAGGUGCUGUUCAAGGGCGCCGAGGUACCUCCUCCCCUUACCGAGGACCGCGGACUCAGCCUAAAGCGCCAUGACAAUCCGGUAAGUUUUUAUAUCUCACAGGAUAUUUAUUUGCCCCAGUUUAAUGAUGUGCGGGAUCUAAGCUUCCAUGCAAUUAAUAGGACUGGGUAGAGACAGUGGAGCAGCUCGAUUGCCCAGCCCCCCUGCCUGAAGAUCCUGCAGAUGCUCUCCUAACGGAGAUGCUGGUUCCGGCGCCUUACGAGGUGCCGGUGAAGAAGGCCCAAAAGAAGGCCACAUGGACCCGAAAGGGUCUCCGGCGCAAGGUUAUGUCAGACUCAUCGUCCGAUAACUCCGAAGUGCACUCGUCCCAUGAAAACGAGGAGGAAGAGAAAAGUUCUCCCCCCAGCCGAGGGAGAUAAUAAAAGGGAACCCGCCCCAACUGGGGAGGCCGAAGGGUCCAAGAAGGGAAGGACCCUCCUUCCGGACUGCUCCACGACGGCCGCCUACAACGAUUGGUUACCCUGGGACAAGCCCCUGGUGAAGUCGUAAGUAUCCGGAUACCAUAGUAAUUCAUGGUGUGUUUUAUCGCACUACUUCUCCUUACGCCGAAUAUGAUUAUGCAGUCCGUCCCGAGCCCGUCUCGACGUAUCUUCGUCGGAUGGUUCUUUGGACUCGUCGGAUAUGAAUAGCGAUUCACCUCCGACCGCCUCCACCCCUUGCCCUACGGACAACGUCGAGGUGUUGUCUCAAAAGGCACCGAGCCGAGGGGAGGUAGUCCUGGGGGCGCCUCGAGGCGACCUUCCGGAUCCUGGGCGCAGAGGGAGCAAGAUCCCCACGGGCUCCAAGUUCGGCCCCCAGCCAAACACUGCACCAGAACGUCCAGUGGUUCCGGGCUCCGGCAGGCGAUCCCCUGUUAAGGGGGGCAAGCCGCCCGUGCCGGUGGCCUCUGUCCAUCCAGAGGCACCGGACAACUUGCUGGAAGCGCUUCGCGGCGCUUCCAUCGAUGAAGAGCACCACACUAUCAUGAGUGCGGUGACCGAGAAAGUUCAGUCCACCAAAAAACGGACUAACCGAAGCUUGUGCCAGCCUCCUAACAGGCUUUCAGGCAAGUGAUCAAAAUAUAGGAAAAUAUUACGAUCAAAAUAUAGGAAAAUAUUACCGCAUAGAUAGUAGCCCUUGAUGCUCUGUUUGGCGUUCGCGUAGAAAGGCCGAAUAGAGGAUCAAAUAAUGACUCAGGAGUCUAAUCAGAAUAUGUCUAUGUGCAUGUGCAGGCUUCACUGCUGGCCGCUGCUGCACGUACUGCGGAGGUCGCUGCACUGAAGCAGAACCUGGGGCGGUUCGAGGACGAGCUCGGUCUUACCAAGAGGCAACUCGAGGAGAGCAAAGGUAAGCAAUACCUUGUCUAUACAUUAAAAAGAAGUUCGGUUGUGAAGUAAUAGGAUCAUCAUGAAUUUGCCAGGGGCCACGACCGAGAUGGCGACCCUAAAGAGGGCGCUGUCUGAGGCCGAAGACAAAGCGGCCAAGGAGCGCAUUGAGCAGGAAAAGCAAGAAGCCCGGGUAGGCGAGGUGCAGCAAGAGCUCGAGGCUCUCGCCAAAAAACACAAGUCCUUGGAGCUUGACUCUAAGACGCGAGAGUCCGAGCUUGCGAAGGCGCUCGAAAGCGCACGGAGCACCAAGGCUGAAGCCCACAAGUCCCUCCAGGAGAUUGAUGCGGUGAAGAAGAUAGCAGCGGAUAAGGCAUUCAUUAUGCAAAGCAAGCAUGUGAAGGAAACUUUCCUUUUACUUACCCGAGUUCGGAGCUCUCCAGGAGCGUUCGCAGAUCUUCCCCGCAGUGUACUAGAUGCCACGGAGUUUUACCGAGCUGAGGAGGGGAGCUCGACGGAAAAGUUGUUCUGGUCUCAGUAUACUGGGACCGAACACCCAAUGCCCUUGAGCGAUCAGGUGAAGCAACUGGUCGAGCUUCACAAGGCAACCGAACAGGCCAUGAAGGGUCUUAUAGUCCGGAUGUGGCCUGGCGAUCCCCUUCCUAGCAGCUACUUUGGUCUAGUGAGGCGGCUUGUGGAUGCCUGCCCAUGGCUUGAAGUCAUAAAGCGGUCCGUCUGCAUCGAGGGUGCACGCAGGGCUUUUGCCCGGGCGAAGGUGCACUGGGCGAAGCUGGACGCCGUGAAGCUGGUGAAGGAGGGGCCAUCAGAGGGCAAGGAGCAUCGCUGCCCCGAAAUGUAUUAUGACAGUGUCCUGAAGGGUUCCCGCCUUGUGGCGGAGGAAUGUGCUAGAGAUGUAAUUUUUGAAUGAACAUACUCAUGUGAUCCUGUAAUGUGAAACGAGUUCAUUUGCGCUAUGCAACGCUUUUUGAAUUUAAAAUAUUACCUUCUAUGUGGCCGUUUAUAAAAUCUGAGAGUUGUCCAGUCGUCGGCUUCUGCCCCCAUGUAACUAGUACUGGGGUGUUCGGGAUAAACCUGAGCACUCUUUAUCCCAAUUUUGGGUCCUUCGAGGGAGGUGUUCAGCACAACGAACCAGGAAAUCGGACUAUAAGGCUUCAUCACUCUCACUUAGCCAUAGAAGUCUACAAUUUUAAAUUUUGGCGAAGCCCCUAGUAUUCGGAAGGCCAAAUUUGGGGCGCUAUAUACUCCUAAGUCGGGCAAGGCCAACUCCUCGCCCGAAGCGGAAAAAGUCUUUAAGGACUUGAGACCUCUCGAACAGCAACCAGCUCUCUCCUUAUCAUGACAGUCAGUUUCCGGCUUUCUCUACUGAGGUGCUCGUCCGAAAGAACCGGGACACAAUCGCAGUAGUUCUCCCAGCGCUACCUUAGCCGAUAUAGCAGAACAUAAGAUAGCAAAACAUGGGAGCCGGGCAAACCCAACUAUUGACCCAAGACAUGAUUCGGAGCUGAUGCAUAUAAUGUUAUAAGUUCGGGGUGCCGCACUGUCAAAAGUGUUCGGAGUUCUCACGCCGUAUUAUGGGGUGAACGAAAGCCCCUGGCGUACUGACCGUACCAGAAUGUACGGGUGCAAGUUGUUGUAAAUGAACAUAUAAGGAAAAAAGGGAUGGAUAAUGCAAUAAUAGACUAAUGCUAUGCAUUGUUAUUUAAAUAAUACGUCGAAGCGUACUGAUACAAGUAGUGUAAUAAGCAAAAAUAGUACUAUUUGACAUGUCCUAUCCAAGGGCAAGCUGCGUAUGGAUAGUAAAAAGCGGGUAUAUCGAUUGUUAUUAGAGACCACCUGGGGGUUCCCUUGUACGUCUUAGCUUCUUGCCUUGGGUGUUCCUUCCCAUAAUGUGUCCGGCAAUCAUACUGCCAGAAAGGGCUGCUAGAGAGUAAGGUCCUGAAAGAGAAAAAUGAUAAAGGUAUGCAGCCCCUAGGGCGGUUAAGCCGCAUUGCGGGACGUGCCCUGGUCGUGCCCCCGCCUAUGGUCAUGGUAUUUUCAGUGCGUAAUUAUGUACACGCGGCAUGGAUUUCAUCGCUUGACUGGGACUGGGACGGGGGCCAAAUUGCUAGGCGAGCUCUGAACGUGCCAGGCGAUCCUGUUGCAGUUUACUCUGGACUCGCUUGACGGUGUCCGGGGGCUGUAUCGCCGAAUUGGUGGUUUGCCUUAAAAGGCUGCUUUGUGCUUCUGCUGCGAGGGCCGCCGUGUGCUCUUCCGUGCGAAGCGAGCGUUCUGUGUUUCCAUUGACUGUUAUGACCCCCUAGGUCCUGGCAUCUUGAGCUUGAGGUAUGCGUAAUGCGGUACCACAUUGAAUUUUGCAAAUGCGGUUCGCCCGAGCAGUGCGUGAUAGCCACUAUGGAACGGGACGAUAUCGAAGAUUAAUUCCUCGCUUUGGAAGUUGUCCGGAGAUCCGAAGACCACUUCUAGUGUGAUUAAGCCCGUGCAAUGGGCCUCUACACCUGGGAUGAUGCCCUUAAAGGUGGUUUUGGUGGGUUUGAUCCUCGGGGGAUGUAUACCCAUUUUGCGCACUGUAUCCUAAUAGAGCAGGUUCAGGCUUCUACUGCCGUCCAUAAGGACUCGAGUGAGGUGAAAUCCAUCGAUGAUGGGGUCUAGGACCAGUGCGGUGGAUCCGCCAUGACGGAUGCUAGUGGGGUGGUCCCUGUGAUCGAAGGUGAUCGGACAAGCGGACCAUGGGUUGAACUUUGGGGCGACGGGCUCCAUCGCAUAGACGUCCCUUAGUGCAUGCUUCCGUUCCCUCUUGGGAAUGUGAGUUGUGUAUAUCAUGUUCACUGUCUUCACUUGUGGGGGGAACCUCUUCUGUCCUCCCGUGUUCGGCGGCCCGGGCUCCUCCUCGCCAUCACUAUGCAGCCGCUUGUCCUUGUUUUCGGCAUUCAACCUGCCGGCCUGUUUGAACACCCAUCAUUCUCUGUUAGUGUGAUUGGCUGGCUUAUCGGGGGUGCCGUGGAUUUGACACGAGCGAUCAAGUAUGCGAUUCAAACUGGACGGGCCCAGAGUACUUCUUUUGAAUGCCUUUUUCCGCUGACCGGAUCUAGAGCCUCUGAAUCCGGCGUUUAAUGCCGUAUCAUCAGUGUUAUCGCCGUUGUUGCGGCGCUUUUGUCUGUUACGACGUGGUCUGCCGUUGGCAUCUUUGGUAUCCGAAGUGCCCGGAUUCCUUGAUGUGUUGUUGCUGCGAGCCAGCCAGCUAUCCUCGCCCGCGCAAAAGCGGGUCAUAUGUGUCAUGAGGGCUGCCAUAGACUUCGGCUUCUCCUGGCCGACUGUUGGAAAUAUGCCCUAGAGGCAAUAAUAAAAGUAUUAUUAUAUUUCAUUGUUCAUGAUAAUUGUCUUGUAUUCAUGCUAUAACUGUGUUAUCCGGAAAUCGUAAUACACGUGUGAAUACUUAGACCACACUAUGUCCCUGGUAAGCCUCUAGUUGACCAGCUCGUUGUGAUCAACAGAUAGUCAUGGUUUCCUGACUAUGGACAUUGGAUGUCGUUGAUAACGGGAUCACAUCAUUAGGAGAAUGAUGUGAUGGACAAGACCCAAUCCUAAGCAUAGCAUAAAAGAUCGUGUAGUUCGUUUUGCUAGAGCUUUGCAAGUGUCAAGUAUCUCUUCCUUCGACCAUGAGAUCGUGUAACUCCCGGAUACCGUAAGAGUGCCUUGGGUGUAUCAAACGUCACAACGUAACUGGGUGACUAUAAAGGUGCAUUACAGGUAUCUCCGAAAGUAGCUGUUGGGUUGACACGGAUCGAGACUGGGAUUUGUCACUCCGUAUGACGGAGAGGUAUCUCUGGGCCCACUCGGUAAUGCGUCAUCAUAUUGAGCUCAAUGUGACCAAGGUGUUGGACACGGGAUCAUGCAUUACGGUACGAGUAAAGUGACUUGCCGGUAACGAGACUGAACAAGGUAUUGGGAUACCGACGAUUGAGUCUCGGGCAAGUAACGUACCGAUUGACAAAGGGAAUUGCAUACAGGGUUUGAUCGAAUCCUCGACAUAGUGGUUCAUCCGAUGACAACAUCGAGGAGCAUGUGGGAGCCAUCAUGGGUAUCCAGAUCCCGCUGAUGGUUAUUGACUGAGAGCGUCUCGGUCAUGUCUGCAUGUCUCCCGAACCCGUAGGGUCUACACACUUAAGGUUCGGUGACGCUAGGGUUAUGAAGAUAUGGAUAUGCAGAAACCCGAAUGUUGUUCGGAGUCCCGGAUGAGAUCCCGGACGUCACGAGGAGUUCCGGAAUGGUCCGGAGGUAAAGAAUUAUAUAUAGGAAGUGCUAUUUCGGGCAUCGGGACAAGUUUCGGGGUUAUCGGUAUUGUACCGGGACCACCGGAAGGGUCCCGGGGGUCCACCGGGUGGGGCCACCUGUCCCGGGGGGCCACAUGGUCUGUAGGGGGUGCGCCUUGGCCAUCAUGGGCCAAGGGCACCAGCCCCUAUAGGCCCAUGCGCCUAGGGUUUCCCCCUAGGAGGAGUCCUAGUGGUGGAAGGCACCCCUAGGUGCCUUGGGGGGGAGGAAAACCUCCCCUAGGCCGCCGCCCCCCUAGUAGAUCUCAUCUACUAGGGCCGGCGCCCCCCUGGCACCCCUAUAUAUAGUGGGGGAGAGGAGGGACUUCAUACACCAGCCCCUGGCGCCUCCACCUCCCCCCGUUACGCCUCUCCCUCGUAGUCUCGGCGAAGCCCUGCUGCUGUGACGCCCUGCAUCCACCACCACGCCGUCGUGCUGCUGGAUCUUCAUCAACCUCUCCUUCCCCCUUGCUGGAUCAAGAAGGAGGAGACGUCUCCCGUCCCGUACGUGUGUUGAACGCGGAGGUGCCGUCCGUUCGGCGCUGGUCAUCGGUGAUUUGGAUCACGUCGAGUACGACUACAUCAUCACCUUGCAAGCUUCCGCACGCGAUCUACAAGUGGUAUGUAGAUGCAAACUCUCUCCCUAGACUCGUUGCUUAGAUGAACUCAUAGAUGGAUCUUGGUGAAACCGUAGGAAAAUUUUUAAUUUUCUGCAACGUUCCCCAACAGUGGCAUCAUGAGCUAGGUCUAUGCGUAGUUCUCUUUGCACGAGUAGAACACAACUUUGUUGUGGGCGUGGAUUUUGUCAUCUUACUUGCCUCUACUAGUCUUUUCUUGCUCAACGGUAUUGUGGGAUGAAGCGGCCCGGACCAACCUUACACGUACACUUACGUGAGACCGGUUCCACCGAUUGACAUGCACAUGUUGCAUAAGGUGGCUGGCGGGUGUCUGUCUCUCCCACCUUAGUUGGAGCGGAAUCGAUGAACAGGGCCCUUAUGAAGGGUAAAUAGAAGUUGACAAAAUCACGUUGUGGUGAUUCGUAGGUAAGAAAACGUUCUUGCUAGAACCCAAUUGCAGCCACGUAAAAGAUGCAACAACAAUUAGAGGACGUCUAACUUGUUUUUGCAGCGAUUGAUCAUGUGAUGUGAUAUGGCCAGAAGUUGUGAUGAAUGAUGAAUUGUGAUGUAUGAGAUCAUGUUCUUUGUAAUAGGAUUCACGACUUGCAUGUCGAUGAGUAUGACAACCGGCAGGAGCCAUAGGAGUUGUCAUUAUUUUUUGUAUGACCUGCGUGUCAUUGAAUAACGUCAUGUAAACUACUUUACUUUAUUGCUAAACGUUAGUCAUAGAAGUAGAAGUAGUCGUUGGCAUGACAACUUCAUGAAGACACGAUGAUGGAGAUCAUGAUGAUGGAGAUCAUGGUGUCAAGCCGGUGACAAGAUGAUCAUGGAGCCCCGAAGAUGAAGAUCAAUGGAGCUAUAUGAUAUUGGCCAUAUCAUGUCACAACUAUAUAAUUGCAUGUGAUGUUUAUUAUGUAUUAUGCAUCUUGUUUACUUAGGACGACGGUAGUAAAUAAGAUGAUCCCUUAUAAAAUUUCAAGAAGUGUUCUCCCCUAACUGUGCACCGUUGCUACAGUUCGUCGUUUCUAAGCACCACGUGAUGAUCGGGUGUGAUGGAUUCUUACGUUCACAUACAACGAGUGUAAGACAGUUUUACACAGCGAAAACACUUAGGGUUAACUUGACGAGCCUAGCAUGUGCAGACAUGGCCUCGGAACACGGAGACCGAAAGGUCGAACACGAGUCGUAUGGAAGAUACGAUCAACAUGAAAAUGUUCACCGACGAUGACUAGUCCGUCUCACGUGAUGAUCGGACACGGGCUAGUCGACUCGGAUCGUGUAACACUUAGAUGACUAAAGGGAUGUCUAAUCUAAGUGGGAGUUCAUAAUUUGAUUAGAACUUUAUUAUCAUGAACUUAGUCUAAAACCUUUGCAAAUAUGUCUUGUAGAUCAAUGGCCAACGCUAAUGUCAACAUGAACUUCAACGCGUUCCUAGAGAAAACCAAGCUGAAAGAUGAUGGCAGCAACUAUACGGACUGGGUCCGGAACCUGAGGAUCAUCCUCAUAGCUGUCAGGAAACAAUAUGUCCUAGAAGGACCGCUAGGUGACGCUCCCGUCCCAGAGAACCAAGACAUUAUGAAUGCUUGGCAGUCUCGCGCUGAUGAUUACUCCCUCGUUCAGUGCGGCAUGCUUUACAGCUUAGAACCGGGGCUCCAAAAGCGUUUUGAGCAUCACGGAGCAUAUGAGAUGUUCGAAGAGCUGAAACUAGUUUUCCAAGCUCAUGCCCGGGUCGAGAGAUAUGAUGUCUCCGACAAGUUCUACAGUUGUAAGAUGGAGGAAAACAGUUCUGUCAGUGAGCACAUCCUGAAGAUGUCUGGGUUGCACAACCGUAUGACCCAGCUAAACAUUAACCUCCCAGAUGAGGCGGUCAUUGACAGAAUCCUCCAGUCGCUCCCACCAAGCUACAAGAGCUUUGUGAUGAACUACAACAUGCAGGGAAUGGAAAAGACCAUUCCUGAAGUGUUCUCGAUGCUGAAGUCAGCAGAGGCUGAAAUCAAGAAAGAACAUCAAGUGUUGAUGGUCAAUAAGACCACUAAGUUCAAGAAGGGCAAAGGUAAGAAGAACUUCAAGAAGGACGGCAAAGAUGUUGCCGCGCCUGGUAAGCCAGUUACCGGGAAGAAGUCAAAGAAUGGACCCAAGCCUGAGACUGAGUGCUUUUAUUGCAAGGGGAAGGGUCACUGGAAGCGGAACUGCCCCAAAUACUUAGCGGAUAAGAAGGCCGGCAACACCAAAGGUAUAUUUGAUAUACAUGUGAUUGAUGUGUACCUUACCAGUAAUCGUAGUAACUCCUGGGUAUUUGAUACCGGUGCCGUUGCUCAUAUUUGUAACUCACAGCAGGAGCUGCGGAAUAAACGGAGACUGGCAAAGGACGAGGUGACGAUGCGCGUCGGGAAUGGUUCCAGAGUCGAUGUGAUCGCCGUCGGCACGCUGCCUCUACAUUUACCUACGGGAUUAGUUUUGAACCUCAAUAAUUGUUAUUUAGUGCCAAGUUUGAGCAUGAACAUUGUAUCUGGAUCUCGUUUAAUAUGAGAUGGCUACUCAUUUAAGUCUGAGAAUAAUGGUUGUUCGAUUUAUAUGAGAGAUAUGUUUUAUGGUCAUGCUCCGAUGGUCAAUGGUUUAUUCUUAAUGAAUCUCGAGCGUAAUAUUACACAUGUUCAUAGUGUAGAUACCAAAAGAUUUAAAGUUGAUAACGAUAGUCCCACAUACUUGUGGCACUGCCGCCUUGGUCACAUUGGUGUCAAGCGCAUGAAGAAGCUCCAUACCGAUGGACUUUUAGAGUCUCUUGAUUAUGAAUCGUUUAACACGUGCGAACCAUGCCUCUUGGGCAAAAUGACCAAGACUCCGUUCUCCGGAACAAUGGAGCGAGCAACCAACUUGUUGGAAAUCAUACAUACCGAUGUGUGCGGUCCAAUGAGCGUUGAGGCUCGCGGAGGAUAUCGUUAUGUUCUCACUCUCACAGAUGACUUGAGUAGAUAUGGGUAUGUCUACUUAAUGAAACACAAGUCUGAGACCUUUGAAAAGUUCAAGGAAUUUCAGAAUGAGGUGGAGAAUCAACGUGACCGAAAGAUAAAAUUCUUACGAUCAGCUCGUGGAGGAGAAUACUUAAGUCACGAAUUUGGUACACACUUAAAGAAAUGUGGAAUCGUUUCACAGCUCACGCCGCCUGGAACACCUCAGCGAAACGGUGUGUCCGAACGUCGUAAUCGCACUCUAUUGGAUAUGGUGCGAUCUAUGAUGUCUCUUACCGACUUACCGCUAUCAUUUUGGGGAUACGCUCUAGAGACAGCUACAUUCACUUUAAAUAGGGCACCGUCUAAAUCCGUUGAGACGACACCGUAUGAAUUAUGGUUUGGAAAGAAACCUAAGCUGUCGUUUCUAAAAGUUUGGGGAUGCGAAGCUUAUGUCGAGAAACUUCAACCUGAAAAGCUCGAACCCAAGUCGGAAAAAUGCAUAUUCAUAGGAUACCCUAAGGAAACUGUAGGGUAUACCUUCUACUUAAGAUCCGAAGGCAAGAUAUUUGUUGCCAAGAGCGGAUGCUUUCUGGAAAAAGAGUUUCUCUCGAAAGAAGUAAGUGGGAGGAAAGUAGAACUCGAUGAAGUACUACCUCUUGAGCGGGAUAGUGACGCAGCGCAGGAAACCGUUCCUGUGAUGCCCACACCAACUGAAGAGGAAAACCAUGAUAAUGAUCAAGGUACUUCGGAUCAAGUUACUGCUGAACUUCGUAGGUCCACAAGGACACGUUCCGCACCAGAGUGGUACGGCAACCCUGUCCUGGAAAUCAUGUUGUUAGACAACAAUGAACCUUCGAACUAUGAAGAAGCAAUGGCGGGCCCGGAUUCCAACAAAUGGCUUGAAGCCAUGAAAUCCGAGAUAGAAACAAAGUAUGGACUUUGACAGACUUGCCCGAUGAUCGGCGAGCGAUAGAAAACAAAUGGAUCUUUAAGAAGAAGACGGACGCGGAUGGUAAUGUUACCAUCUAUAAAGCUCGACUUGUCGCUAAGGGUUAUCGACAGGUUCAAGGGAUUGACUACGACGAGACAUUCUCUCCCGUAGCGAAGCUAAAGUCCGUCCGAAUCAUGUUAGCAAUUGCCGCAUACUAUGAUUAUGAGAUAUGGCAGAUGGACGUCAAAACAGCAUUCCUUAACGGGCAUCUUAAGGAAGAACUGUAUAUGAUGCAGCCGGAAGGUUUUGUCGAUCCUCGGAAUGCUAACAAAGUAUGCAAGCUCCAGCGAUCCAUUUAUGGACUGGUGCAAGCAUCUCGGAGUUGGAACAUUCGCUUUGAUGAGAUGAUCAAAGCGUUUGGGUUUAUGCAGACUUAUGGAGAAGCCUGCGUUUACAAGAAAGUGAGUGGGAGCUCUGUAGCAUUUCUCAUAUUAUAUGUAGAUGACAUACUCCUGAUGGGAAAUAAUAUAGAAUUUCUGGACAACAUUAAGGCCUACUUGAAUAAGUGUUUUUCAAUGAAGGACCUUGGAGAAGCUGCUUAUAUAUUAGGCAUCAAGAUCUAUAGAGAUAGAUCGAGACGCCUCAUAGGUCUUUCACAAAGCACAUACCUUGAUAAGAUUUUGAAGAGAUUCAGAAUGGAUCAGUCCAAGAAGGGGUUCUUGCCUUUGUUACAAGGUAUGAGACUGAGCUCAGCUCAGUCACCGACCACGGCAAAAGAUAAAGAAGAGAUGAGUGUCAUCCCCUAUGCUUCGGCCAUAGGAUCUAUUAUGUAUGCCAUGCUGUGUACCAGACCCGAUGUAAACCUUGCCGUAAGUUUGGUAACAAGAUACCAAAGUAAUCCCGGCAAGGAACACUGGACAGCGGUCAAGAAUAUCCUGAAGUACCUGAAAAGGACAAAGGACAUGUUUCUUGUUUAUGGAGGAGACAAAGAGCUCGUCGUAAAGGGUUACGUCGAUGCUAGCUUCGACUCAGAUCUGGAUGACUCUAAGUCACAAACCGGAUACGUGUAUAUGUUGAAUGGUGGAGCAGUAAGCUGGUGCAGCUGCAAGCAGAGCGUCGUGGCGGGAUCUACGUGUGAAGCGGAGUACAUGGCAGCCUCGGAGGCAGCACAUGAAGCGAUUUGGGUGAAGGAGUUCAUCACCGACCUAGGAGUCAUACCCAAUGCGUCGGGGCCGAUCAAACUCUUCUGUGACAACACUGGAGCUAUUGCCCUCGCAAAGGAGCCCAGGUUUCACAAGAAGACCAGGCACAUCAAGCGUCGUUUCAACUCCAUCCGUGAAAAUGUUCAAGAUGGAGACAUAGAGAUUUGCAAAGUACACACGGAUCUGAAUGUCGCAGAUCCGCUGACUAAACCUCUCUCGCAUGCAAAACAUGAUCAACACCAGAACUCUAUGGGUGUUCGAUUCAUCACAAUGUAACUAGAUUAGUGACUCUAGUGCAAGUGGGAGACUGUUGGAAAUAUGCCCUAGAGGCAAUAAUAAAAGUAUUAUUAUAUUUCAUUGUUCAUGAUAAUUGUCUUGUAUUCAUGCUAUAACUGUGUUAUCCGGAAAUCGUAAUACACGUGUGAAUACUUAGACCACACUAUGUCCCUGGUAAGCCUCUAGUUGACCAGCUCGUUGUGAUCAACAGAUAGUCAUGGUUUCCUGACUAUGGACAUUGGAUGUCGUUGAUAACGGGAUCACAUCAUUAGGAGAAUGAUGUGAUGGACAAGACCCAAUCCUAAGCAUAGCAUAAAAGAUCGUGUAGUUCGUUUUGCUAGAGCUUUGCAAGUGUCAAGUAUCUCUUCCUUCGACCAUGAGAUCGUGUAACUCCCGAAUACCGUAAGAGUGCCUUGGGUGUAUCAAACGUCACAACGUAACUGGGUGACUAUAAAGGUGCAUUACAGGUAUCUCCGAAAGUAGCUGUUGGGUUGACACGGAUCGAGACUGGGAUUUGUCACUCCGUAUGACGGAGAGGUAUCUCUGGGCCCACUCGGUAAUGCAUCAUCAUAUUGAGCUCAAUGUGACCAAGGUGUUGGACACGGGAUCAUGCAUUACGGUACGAGUAAAGUGACUUGCCGGUAACGAGACUGAACAAGGUAUUGGGAUACCGACGAUCGAGUCUCGGGCAAGUAACGUACCGAUUGACAAAGGGAAUUGCAUACAGGGUUUGAUCGAAUCCUCGACAUCGUGGUUCAUCCGAUGACAACAUCGAGGAGCAUGUGGGAGCCAUCAUGGGUAUCCAGAUCUCGCUGAUGGUUAUUGACUGAGAGCGUCUCGGUCAUGUCUGCAUGUCUCCCGAACCCGUAGGGUCUACACACUUAAGGUUCGGUGACGCUAGGGUUAUGAAGAUAUGGAUAUGCAGAAACCCGAAUGUUGUUCGGAGUCCCGGAUGAGAUCCCGGACGUCACGAGGAGUUCCGGAAUGGUCCGGAGGUAAAGAAUUAUAUAUAGGAAGUGCUAUUUCGGGCAUCGGGACAAGUUUCGGGGUUAUCGGUAUUGUACCGGGACCACCGGAAGGGUCCCGGGGGUCCACCGGGUGGGGCCACCUGUCCCGGGGGGCCACAUGGGCUGUAGGGGGUGCGCCUUGGCCAUCAUGGGCCAAGGGCACCAGCCCCUAUAGGCCCAUGCGCCUAGGGUUUCCCCCUAGGAGGAGUCCUAGUGGUGGAAGGCACCCCUAGGUGCCUUGGGGGGGAGGAAAACCUCCCCUAGGCCGCCGCCCCCCCUAGUAGAUCUCAUCUACUAGGGCCGGCGCCCCCCCUGGCACCCCUAUAUAUAGUGGGGGAGAGGAGGGACUUCAUACACCAGCCCCUGGCGCCUCCACCUCCCCCCGUUACGCCUCUCCCUCGUAGUCUCGGCGAAGCCCUGCUGCUGUGACGCCCUGCAUCCACCACCACGCCGUCGUGCUACUGGAUCUUCAUCAACCUCUCCUUCCCCCUUGCUGGAUCAAGAAGGAGGAGACGUCUCCCGUCCCGUACGUGUGUUGAACGCGGAGGUGCCGUCCAUUCGGCGCUGGUCAUCGGUGAUUUGGAUCACGUCGAGUACGACUACAUCAUCACCUUGCAAGCUUCCGCACGCGAUCUACAAGUGGUAUGUAGAUGCAAACUCUCUCCCUAGACUCGUUGCUUAGAUGAACUCAUAGAUGGAUCUUGGUGAAACCGUAGGAAAAUUUUUAAUUUUCUGCAACGUUCCCCAACACCGACGUGCCAGGCGAGCCACUCGUCACGGAUGUUAUGCUUGAAUGCCGCUAAGGCCUCUGCAUCCGGACAGUCGACAAUUUGGUUUUUCUUAGUUAGGAACCAUUUCCAGAAUUGCCUGGCCGAUUCCCCUGGCUGCUGAGUUAUAUGGCACAAGUCAUCAGCAUCCGGUGGUCGCACAUAAGUGCCCUGGAAGUUGUCAAGGAAUGCGUCUUCUAAAUCCUCCCAACUACCUACGGAGUCUGCUGGCAAGCUAUUCAGCCAAUGCCGAGCUGGUCCUUUGAGUUUUAGUGGGAAGUACUUGAUGGCAUGCAGAUCAUCACCGCGAGCGAUGUGGAUGUGGAGGAGGAAAUAUUCAAUCCAUAUAGCGGGAUCUGUUGUACCAUCAUACGAUUCGAUAUUUACGUGUUUAAAACCCUCCGGGAAUUCAUGAUCCAUAACUUCAUCAGUGAAGCAUAGGGGGUGUGCGGCGCCUCUGUGCCGGGCUAUAUCACGACACAGUUCAUAUGAGUCUUGUCUGCUGUAUUCGGCCUGGACGGAUUUACUUUUAGUGUAUCCGGCGCAACGGUCAUCAUCCCGCGUUGGCGCGCGCGCCCCCGUGACCCGUAUAUCGACCUUGCAUGUUUUGCCCUGCUGUCCAAUACGUCUCGCAGGUCCCGUGUGUUGCCCCAGGCCUUGGUGUUUUUAAUCGAGUGGCGGCGGGGUGCAGGCUGAACUUCAUGCUGAAAUGCCUCUCUGGUUCGGUCACGAGGUGGCCGGUCAGCCAUAUCGUACACUGGUGAUGUAGGUUUCAAUGCUUACUCCUCGAGGUGGGGUAGCAACCAGCGCUUUGGGUAACUCUUGGAGGGGCGCUCGAGUUCAUAUUCCUCGGCCGCAAGGACUUCGGUCCAUCUGUGUGCUAGCAGAUCUUGAUCAGCUUGAAGAUGUUGUUGCUUUUUCUUCAAGCUAUUUUCUGUGGCCAUAAGCCGGCGCUUGAAGCACUCCUGCUCGACGGGAUCCUCAAGCAUGAUAAAUUCUUCAUCACUGAGGCUCAUCUCGUCUUCGGAGAGAGGCAUGUAAUUGUCCUCCUCCAAUUCUCCAUCUGCUGCCCGCUCUGGAGGGCUAGCUUGUUCACCCUCCCGCUCUAAAUCAUGCUGGAGGGGAUUAUUGUCGUCUUCGGCACUAUCCGGAGUGUUAUUGUCUCUUGUGCCGGUAUCACUACUUUUGCUAUGGCGGGACUUAGAGCGGCGCCGCUGACGUCGGCGCUUGGGUUGCUUCUUGGAGGGGUCAUCCUUCGCUGUCUUGUCGCCAUUGCCUUCUUUGGGGGUGUCCACCAUGUAUAUAUCAUAUGAUGAGGUGGCGGUCCAGCGCCCUGUGGGCGGUGGUUCCUGUUCGUCUCCUGCAUCAUCGUCCAUACGGUCGAUGUCUUCGGAGUCAAAGUCGAGCAUGUCGGUUAAAUCAUCGACAAUGGCUACUAAGUGGGUGGUGGGUGGGGAGUGAAUUUCUUCGUCGUCCGCAUCCCAUUCUAGCCGGACAUAAUUCGGCCAAGGUUCUCCUGACAAGGAGAGAUACCUUAAUGACUUUAGCAUAUCGCCAAAAGGUGAGUGCUGAAAGAUAUCCGCAGAGGUGAACUCCAUGAUCGGCACCCAAUCGAAUUCGAUAGGCACAGACGCAGGUGGAUCGGAGUCCGUGGCCGGAGACGAAUCCAGUGGUUCGGCAACAUGGUUCUCGUAAGGGGUGAAGUCAGUAUCCGGCUCCAUCGCCACCGAGAGUGCGGCCUCCAUGGCGGGGUCUAUCCGCCCGUCCUCGGAUGGCGCAACUUGCUCUAGAUUGAAGGCUGGAGUAGUUGCAGGUGUGAUCUCCCGAACACUGUCCGACGGCAGAGCUAAAUCAUGAUCAUCGUGAUUGUAACACCCACAAUGCGGCUAUAUCUCCCACGUGUUGGAGAACGACUUAGAGUCAUAACCGCAUAGUAGGCAUGUCGCAAGAGGGGUAAUCUUUACACAUCCCAUGUACUGAAAUAGAAGGGAUAAAGAGUUGGCUUACAAUUUUCACUUCACACAAUACAUAAAUAUAGCAUUACAUCAUCCAGAUACAAUGAAGGUCUGACUACGGAACCAAAUAAAGAAAGACAACCCCUAAUGCAAAAGAUCCCCGAUCGCCCCAAUUGGGCUCCACUACUGAUCGAAAGGAAACGAAACAACCCAACGAACACGAUCUUCAUUUGAGCUCCCACUUGAGCUCAGCUGCGUCAUCUGCACUGGUAUCAACGACACCUGCAACUAGUUUUGGAAGUAAACUGUGAGUCACGGGGACUCAGGAAUCUCACACCCUCGCGAUCAAGAUUAUUUAAGCUUAUGGGUAGGAAAGGGUAGUGAGGUGGAGCUGCAGCAAGCACUAGCAUAUAUGGUGGCUAACUUACGCAAAUGAGAGCGAGAAGAGAAGCAAAGCAUGGUCGAUAAACCAUCAUGAUCAAGAAGUGAUCCUGAAACAACUUAUGUUCAAGCAUAACACGAGACCGUGUUCUCUUCCCAGACUCCGCCGAAAACAGACCAUCACGGCUACACACGCGGUUGAUUCAUUUCAAUUAAGUUUAGUUUCAGGUUUUCUACAACCGGAUAUUAAAAAAUUCCCAUCUGCCCAUAACCGCGGGCACAACUUUCGAAAGUUCAAAACCCUGCAGGGGUGUCCCAACUUAGCCCAUCACAAGCUCUCACGGUCAACGAAGGAUGUUCCUUCUCCCAGGAAGACCCAAUCAGACUCGGAAUCCCGGUUACAAGACAUUUUGACAAUGGUAAACAAAGACCAGGAAAGCCGCCCAGAUGUGCCGACAAAUCCCAAUAGUAGCUGCACAUAUCUCGUUCUCAGGGCACACCAGAUGAGCAAGACGUCGGGUUGGCAUAGACCCUGGUUGCCCAGGGNNNNNNNNNNNNNNNNNNNNNNNNNNNNNNNNNNNNNNNNNNNNNNNNNNNNNNNNNNNNNNNNNNNNNNNNNNNNNNNNNNNNNNNNNNNNNNNNNNNNNNNNNNNNNNNNNNNNNNNNNNNNNNNNNNNNNNNNNNNNNNNNNNNNNNNNNNNNNNNNNNNNNNNNNNNNNNNNNNNNNNNNNNNNNNNNNNNNNNNNNNNNNNNNNNNNNNNNNNNNNNNNNNNNNNNNNNNNNNNNNNNNNNNNNNNNNNNNNNNNNNNNNNNNNNNNNNNNNNNNNNNNNNNNNNNNNNNNNNNNNNNNNNNNNNNNNNNNNNNNNNNGCGAACUGUCAAGGGGUUCCCAUUAUAACCCAACCGCAUAAGGAACACAAAAUCAAGGAACAUAACACCGGUAUGACGGAAACUAGGGCGGCAAGAGUGGAACAAAACACCAGGCAUAAGGCCGAGCCUUCCACCCUUUACCAAGUAUAUAGGUGCAUUAAAGUAAACAAGAUAUAAUAAUGAUAUCCCAACAAUAUCCAUGUUCCAACAUGGAACAAACUUCAUCUUCACCUGUAACUAGCAAUGCUAUAAGAGGGGCUGAGCAAAGCGGUAACAUAGCCAAACAACGGUUUGCUAGGAAAGAUGGGUUAGAGGCUUGACAUGGCAAUAUGGGAGGCAUGAUAUAGCAAGUGGUAGGUAUCGUGGCAUAGCAAAAGAGCGAGCAACUAGCAAGCAAAGAUAUAAGUGAUUUUGAGGGUAUGGUCAUCCUGCGUGCAAAGUUCUCCGAGUUGACGUAAGCUUGAUCCUCGUAAGCGUACUCAACAGGUUCGUCGAUCACGUACUCGUCUCCCAGCUCUAGCCAAAGCAAGAACACAAGCAAAGGGAACAACAAUCAACCACGGUGAAAUGCGCAAGCAACAUGAUGCAAAACAUGGCAUGAUAUGCGGGAUGUGAUAUGCAAUGCAUAUGCGAGCUCCGGAAGGAAAAGAUUGAACCAUGCCUCAACGUGGCAAACCAAGUGCGCUGCUGGGAAGAUGAGUUGAUUUCGGUCGAAAUCGAUAUAAAGAUCACCGGAAUUGGAUGCACAGUUUGCAAAUGGCAAGCAAAACAAGAAUGGCACAAUUCUGCGAUUAACAGCACGAUGACAUCUAGAAUGCAACAAGAAACUAAGCUACUGCACUCUAACAUAGCAAUAAAGCACAUGGCAGUGAUCUACUCAAGAUGCUUGACAAAAUAUGAACACUGAGCUAUGGCUAAAUCACACAAGAGUAGGUUUGAACUAGCAUGGCAAAAGUGCAAAAGAUAUCAGCAUCACAGACUUAGUGAAAAUAACAGCUUGCCAGGAAUUAACAUCAGGAAGACAUGUUUAGAGCAAGCUAACAAUAUGCUACAGGAACAUAUCAUAGCAAGAUAAGGCAUGACAUGAAUAUACUCAAAGCAUAGAACAAAAGUCCCUUACUAACCAUAAGCCAAAAAGGAUCAGAAGAUAUGAUGGCACCCAUGUAAACAUAGCAAGUUUCGUUAACAGAUUCAGACUUAGCAGAAAAACUGGACAUGGCAUAAACAGAAUUAUAAAGGCAUGUUUGCGAGCUCGAUGCACUCAUCACAAGGCAUUGCAUGACAAGCUAAGCAUACUACCAGCAAGAAGACAUGUUCAUGAAGCUAUACAAAGCAAGAACAAGCUCAUAGCAUGCAUGGAUCAACUACAACAACCUUGGCAAAAUUGAUUAACAUGUAAACAAUCUGCCAGGAACAUUUUAUAGCAAAAGUAGAGCAAGAUUGAGUCAUGCUAUGGCACUCCAUAAAUGCACACAGGGGCAUGGAUGGAUAGAGCACAACCAUAUGUCCAAAUCAUCAUUACUGAACAUACUCAAAAGAAGCAUGGAUCUCUCUGUAGCAACAUGAAUACAUGGCAUCAAAAUAACAGCAGGGAAAUGACUUAGUGAAAUUCUAAGUCUCUGAAAACAGCAACAUCACGAGAGCUACUUUGCAUGCAUGUGCUAUUCACCACAUUUAUCACAAAAAUACAUGGAUACACCCCUGUAAAGAUGGCAAGGCAUAGCCCAAAACACAUGUAGAGCUCAUGCCCAUAUGAAGCACACAAUAAAUGUAGCAAAAUGAAAAAUGCUCAUAAUCUGCUAAGUAACAGGAACUAACAUUUUAUAGCACUCUUGCAUCAACAAUUUGGGUAUCAAGAUGGACUCAAACAAGCAUGGCACAAUGGAACAAAAUGAAAAGCACAUCAUGAUGAACAUUUAGAUAUAUCAUGCAUGCAAAAUGGAGCUACGGUCAUGGAGUUAUGAUGUGAUGAAUAUGGCCUGAAAAUAAGAGGGGGAAAAGGACUUAGUAGAAAUUAGACCUCGCGGGAAAAUGGACGAAGGGGUUCGGGACGAGUAGAUCCAGGGCGUGGGGGUGUGUUUGGUUCGGAUCCCGGUGGAUCUCGUCCCACCUGGACGGAUCUGACCGGAUCCGAACUCCGGUGCGGGUGGUGGCCUCCGGCGAGGAACGAAGGCGGCGGCGGGCGCUGCGGUGGCGAGGUUGGCGGAGGACGCCGGCGGGGUUGAGAGGCGGCGUGCGGCGGCGAAGGAAGGCCGGCGAGGUCGGCUCAGGCGGCGGCGGGAGACGGAGGCGGGAGGCGACCGGUGCCGGAGUGGAGGCGCGCCGGUGACCUCGGGCACGGGCGGCGGCGUUGCGUGCCUNNNNNNNNNNNNNNNNNNNNNNNNNNNNNNNNNNNNNNNNNNNNNNNNNNNNNNNNNNNNNNNNNNNNNNNNNNNNNNNNNNNNNNNNNNNNNNNNNNNNNNNNNNNNNNNNNNNNNNNNNNNNNNNNNNNNNNNNNNNNNNNNNNNNNNNNNNNNNNNNNNNNNNNNNNNNNNNNNNNNNNNNNNNNNNNNNNNNNNNNNNNNNNNNNNNNNNNNNNNNNNNNNNNNNNNNNNNNNNNNNNNNNNNNNNNNNNNNNNNNNNNNNNNNNNNNNNNNNNNNNNNNNNNNNNNNNNNNNNNNNNNNNNNNNNNNNNNNNNNNNNNNNNNNNNNNNNNNNNNNNNNNNNNNNNNNNNNNNNNNNNNNNNNNNNNNNNNNNNNNNGCGGGCACGUUGGCCCGUGCCGGCAGCGGCGGCGGGUGCAUGGGCCGGGGAGGGCCCAACCCAGGCCUGGCGGGCCCUCGAUAGAGGCGGGGGAGAGAGAGGGUGGUGGCGCGCUGAGGUGGCAGCGGAGGAUUGGGCGCGGGGCUUACGACCGGUGAGGUGGUGGCGGAUGAUUGGCCGGGGUGACGCGUCCGGCGGACACGUCCGGCGGCACGAGGAAGAGGAAGGCUAGGGUUUCAUCCGCGAAUUUUCGGGGGGAGGUGCAAAUAUAUAGGUAGAGGGAGCUAGGAGAGUCCAAAUGAGGCGCGGUUUUCAGCCACGCGAUCAUGAUUGAACGACCGAGAGGAUGGAGGAGGUUUGGAUGGGUUAUUGGGCCACUUUGAAGGGGUGUUGGGCUGCAACACACACGAGGCCUUUACGACUCCCUGGUUAACCGUUGGAGUAUCAAACGGACUCCAAAUGAUACGAAACUUGACAGGCGGUCUACCAGUGGUAUACCAAGUCCGCUUGGAAAAUCUAGGUCCAUUCCGAGAAAGUUUAACACCCGCACACGAAAAGAGACAAAAGAGGGCGCCGGAGGACGUAGGAGUGCCGGAUUGCAAAACGGACAAUGGGGAAAAUGCUCGGAUGCAUGAGACGAACACGUAUGCAAAUGCGAUGCACAUGAUGACAUGAUAUGAAAUGCAUGACAUGGACAAAAUGCAAACAAAGACAAGGACCGAACCACGAAUCUCACAACACCUCUCUAGAAAAGGCAAGAGUCGGAGUACAAAUAUGGAAAGUUGUAUCCGGGGCGUUACAACACUCCACCACUACGAGAGGAUCUCGUCCCGAGAUCUAGGAUGGCACCGGAGGGAAAAAAGGAAGAGGAAGAAGAGAGGUAAAACUAAGUUGCUUCUUUGACAAACGAGUGAAACCAAAGAACCUUGAGAGGUUGAACAACUUGAAAGAAAAAAUACAAUGGAGAUGAACGAAGUUGAAAUCACUCUGUUAGGAAAGAGGAACAAGGAAGAACAAAUUCGGACAGCACUCCAGUUGAAAAGUGAUACGAAACUUGAUAGAAUGGGAAAACCUUGAAUGAAGGACACGACACUCCAGUUGAAUGGAUAAGCAAAAGGAAAGAACAUGAUCUUCACAAUCCGAGAUGAUGAGAGAAAAGAGCAACAUCACAAUGCCUCCGGAACAAAAGUAAGAAUGGAAUCAAAAGAACGGAGGAGAAAAACAACAUCUUCUACCUGAAAUGAGCUUGAAAAGCAUUUUUAGGAGAAGGUUCGAAUGGAGUUGUUGGGAAUCCAACAACGAAAAGAGUAAGCUUGUUGUGGGCUUAUAGAAAACAUCUCGAAAUCUUGAGGUGAAAUUCUGCCACUAACGGAAAACAAUAGAUUUGACUUGAUAUGAACAAGGAGACGAGAAGGUAUUUCACCGGGAGGAUAAAAGAAGAACUUGGGUUAUUUAUAAGCACCAAAAAUAGCAACAAUCCUUAGGGAAAGCUUUAGGUGAAAUAUAACCCAAGAUAACUCCAAUGAAGAGAUCAAUUGGUUGGAAAGAUCUCGUGCACGAAUAGAAAAUGAUGGGUUUAAAAUAUGUCAUUCCGGACAACUUAUGAAUCAUGAAACACAAAGUGAAAUUGUCAACAAUGACAUAGCACCAUCUCAAAAGAUAAGGUAGAAAGAAUUGCACUUCGGAAUCCAAUAUGAAGAAUGAUUGAACUCCUCAAAACAAGACAUGUGUUGAGCACCAUGUUUAUUUGAGAGUAUAGCUUAGCGGAUUAUAAAUUCGAGAGAAAUCUUGAAGAACAAUUGAAGAAUGUAAUGAAUCCUUGACGAACAACCAUGUAGAGCCUCCAUGAAGAACUCUGGUAAUAAAAGGAUGAUAAAAAAGAAGUGAAGGAUGAAAAGAAUAAGAUUGAAGCCUUGCAAUGAUUAGAUGAAUCUUCGUGAUGAUGAGAGCUUGGAACUCUUGGAAAAGAAAAGACAAAGCAUCUCGAACCGAGAAUGUGAUAUGAUGAACCACUCCGGAAAGCAGGAAUUGAAUUUAUUCGAUGAAACAAGAAUCAGAAUUACAUUAUGCUUAUCCUUCACCAAUUUAAAUUGAUGAAAAGCAACGGAUUUGGCAUACCACUUAUUCUCGUAGAAAGGUUUAAGAGAGAUAUCGCGUAAACUUGAGAAGGUCUUCAACGAACCACCGGUAGGAUUGGAAAGAACGAAUGAAUUGAUAUGAGCACAACAGAAGAGGAAUGUUGAACGAACCACCGUAGGAAUUGAAAACGAACGAAGUAAAGGGGUGAAUCACCGGUAAGAAUUAGAGAAGAAUGAAGAUACUUGAGGGGGUUUAGAUACAUGAGACCGAAUAGAUCACGAGCUGAUUAGGGAAUACUUGAAUGAUGCACCAGUAAGAUUUGGAGAACGAGAGCUGAAAGCUGGGAUGAAUAAUCGUGAGAUGAUGGACUCCGGAGAAUCAAACUGAAAAGACUCCUGAAUUGCUCCGGAUGGGUGAAAAGAAUUCUCACAAUCAAAAAAAAUAUGAGAGGAUGGCAUCUAGCUUGAACUACGCAUUUUCGAGAGAAUGGACCAAUAUUUGAGAGAAAACUCGUAUUCGGUCUUCAGAUGUUGAUAAUGACAAUGCGAAACACCAACAUGGGUUGUUGAGAUACUCCGGGAUGAAUAAUAGAAAGGUUGAACCGAGGAUUAAAAGAAUUUGAAAGAUCUUAGAGAAAUACAUAUGACUGAUGAUAAUUCAUUCUUACGUCAACUUUGAAAUGAAUUUGAGAAUAACUCCGGGAAGAUUAGAAUAGUCAGGUAAGAUCCUGGGGAAAGACCUGUGGGUUAGGGACACUCAAAAGAAACACCAUUGAAAUGAUUUGAGGAGAGAGAUUGCACCAGUUAAAUUAAAUGGCUUGAAUUAGAUAACAACCUCGAGAUAUCUUGAACGAUUGAUAAUGGAGACACAAAUCUUCUGAGAUAUCUUCAGCACUCCUAUCGUGGAAUUGUCACGGCAGAUGUCUUAGUGUGAGGACUUAGUCGUGAGGCCAACGCAUCUAUGUAGUAGCUUGAGAGGGGUUGAGCGGAAUCGAGAGACGCAACACAAGACAAGGGUUUAGAAAGCUUCGGGCCUCGGGAAAACAUCGUCCGGUAACAACCCUUCAUGCUGUUUGUGGUUAGGUCUCAUUAUCAUCAUGGGGGAGUCUCCGGUAAGCCGGCUCUUUGUGUCUAGCCCUCGAGAUUAUUUCUUGUUGCUUGUUCCUCUUGGGGAGCCCUGCCCCUCCUUAUAUAAGUUAGAGGGGCGGGUUACAUGUGGAGUCCUAGUAGGACUAGGACUAGUCUAUCUUCUCUUACAAGUUGAAUACAAGUCCGGGUCUUGCUUCCUCGUAAAGGAAAUAUUCGUCAUCUCUUUCCUCUUAAGCCGGCCCAUCAUAACGUGAGCCGGCCUUCUGGGCUUUGGGCCUUGUUGUCCAUCCGACCCGCCCGCCAGGUUACUAAUGAGUCGCCAAGAUCGGGCGAGUUAUCUGUGAAUCGCCAAGCUCCAGGCGGGUCACCAGUGAGUCGCCACGCUCCAGCCGGGUUAUACAUCCGGUGGGUUACACCGCGGGGUAUAUCCCUGACAACUCCUGAACAAUUGAAUAGCGAGAAGUGAAAAAAAUACGAAGCGCAACAGUAUGGAAAAAUAUUUGAAACGAGGAAAAGAUAUGAUCAACAAAGCUUGAAUUGAAUCCACCGGAGAAGAAAAGAAAUAACGAAUGAUAACUUGAAGCUCCGUUAGUAUCUUUCUGAGAAUCACCGGAUAAGAAGAUUGAAGGGAAAGAAUGAAGAGACUUGAUGAAUAAAAAUGGAUAGUUGAUUUGAAUAUCUCCGAGUCCUUGGAGAAAAAGGGUGGGAGGGCGGGAAAAACAAAGACAACUUGAGACGGAUGAAACAAACACCGUUGAGAAAAACUUGAGUUGAUCUUGCGGAUGUUGAAAAAGAUCAGAUCCACUUGAAGAAAAACACGCCGGUUGAAAAGAAUUGACAUGACAACCUCGAUGAUCAAGAAGGAUUAGUAUUCACAUAGGAAUAUGAGAACACCGCUUAGGAAAGGUAUGGAAUCAACAUUUGACUUCGAAGCAACUCGAAUACCACAACUGAAAAAAACAAAACAAAGUAUUGACUUGCAAAAUAAGCCGGAACAAACAUAUGAUAGAGAUUUCGUCCGAAGUUUUCGUGGUGGGGCCCACACGGGCUCGAUCGUACAUCACCAUCAUGUACAAGGCAGUGCACAUGACAUACGAAGCAUCCCCGAGUCAGCAUAGCCAAGGACUCUUUAAGACACAACGAGACCACUGUAAAACCAACCGUGGAUAGGCGGACCACUAGACGUCGAACCCCAAUCUCAUAUCAUGCAUCUGUCGGAAAGAUAUCCUAGGAGCUACUUGAAUUCCCACUUAUAAACUCCCGAAACUUUCUAGUUAUGCAAUCAGGUGUUGGGGAUACAUGGGAAGCAUAAUAUCUCACUGAAAACUAGCAAAUCCUACAUCCAGCUGUAUCCAUCCUUGAACACAUAACCAAGAAACCUUCGGAAAUCAUUUACCUCAACCUUCAAAAAGCAUUCGUUAUACGAGUUAUGGCAAUACUCCCGAACUCCCGCCCUAGUACUGGGUGGCAUCGAGGUUAUCUCACCAACAACUGCAUAAAAGAGAUUUUCGAUGUCGGCAAACUCAGGUAUUCCAGAACUGCAACAAUAAAAUUGUGAUGACAACACCUCGGAGCUCAACUCCCCUGGACACUGCCACAACCCCUAAAUGUAAGGAGGCACCAAGAACAAUGUUCUCGUCACAAAACCAUCGGAACGAUUCCAAGAUACCUGCGUGAUCCUAAAAAAAAUCGUGAAAUUUGAGGAGAGAAGAGUCAAAACUCUAUGUCAGGAGGCCUUACCAGAGCACCGAAGGGACCGAGGAGCAAAAAGAAUUCUACUCUUUGAUAUAUAUAAUCCUAUCAGACUCAAAACAUUUUUCUAGACUCAACAACGCCAACGAUUCGAUCAAGUAGGGGGCUCCUAAGUCGGGGAAGGCUCUGAUACCAACUUGUAACACCCACGAUGCGGCUAUAUCUCCCACGUGUCGGAGCAUGACUUAGAGGCAUAACUGCAUAGUAGGCAUGUCGCAAGAGGGGUAAUCUUUACACAUCCCAUGUACUGAAAAAGAAGGGAUAAAGAGUUGGCUUACAAUCACCACUUCACACAAUACAUAAAUAUAGCAUUACAUCUUCCAGAUACAAUCAAGGUCUGACUACGGAACCAAAUAAAUAAAGACAAACCCUAAUGCAAAAGAUCCCCGAUAGCCCCAACUGGGCUCCACUACUGAUCGAAAGGAAAUGAAACAACCCAACAAACACGAUCUUCAUCGAGCUCCCACUUGAGCUCAGCUGCGUCAUCUGCACUGGUAUCAACAGCACCUGCAACUAGUUUUGGAAGUAAACUGUGAGUCACGGGGACUCAUCAAUCUCACACCCUCGUGAUCAAGACUAUUUAAGCUUAUGGGUAGGAAAGGGUAGUGAGGUGGAGCUGCAACAAGCACUAGCAUAUAUGGUGGCUAACUUACGCAAAUGAGAGCGAGAAGAGAAGCAAAGCACAGUCGAUAAACUAUCAUGAUCAAGAAGUGAUCCUGAAACUACUUACACUCAAGCAUAACACGAGACCGUGUUCUCUUCCCGGACUCCGCCGAAAAGAGACCAUCACGGCUACACACGCGGUUGAUUCAUUUUAAUUAAGUUUAGUUUCAGGUUUUCUACAACCGGAUAUUAACAAAUUCCCAUCUGCCCAUAACCGCGGGCACGGCUUUCGAAAGUUCAAAACCCUGUAGGGGUGUCCCAACUUAGCCCAUCACAAGCUCUCACGGUCAACGAAGGAUAUUCCUUCUCCUAGGAGAUGAAUAGGUGAGUGCUGAAAGAUAUCCGCAGAGGUGAACUCCAUGAUCGGCGCCCAAUCGAAUUCGAUAGGCACAGACGCAGGUGGAUCGGAGUCCGUGGCCGGAGACGAAUCUAGUGGUUCGGCAACACGGUUCUCGUAAGGGGUGAAGUUAGUAUCCGGCUCCAUCGCCACUGAGAGUGCGGCCUCCAUGGCGGGGUCUAUCCGCCCGUCCUCGGAUGGCGCAAAUUGCUCUAGAUUGAAGGCUGGAGUAGUUGCAGGUGUGAUCUCCCAAACACUGUCCGACGGUAGAGCUAAAUCAUGCUCAUCGUGAUUGUAACACCCACGAUGCGGCUAUAUCUCCCACGUGUUGGAGCACGACUUAGAGUCAUAACCGCAUAGUAGGCAUGUCGCAAGAGGGGUAAUCUUUACACAUCCCAUGUACCAAAAUAGAAGGGAUAAAGAGUUGGCUUACAAUUGUCACUUCACACAAUACAUAAAUAUAGCAUUACAUCAUCCAGAUACAAUCAAGGUCCGACUAUGGAACCAAAUAAAGAAAGACAACCCCUAAUGAAAAAGAUCCCCGAUCGCCCCAACUGGGCUCCACUACUGAUCGAAAGGAAACGAGACAACCCAACGAACACGAUCUUCAUCGAGCUCCCACUUGAGCUCAGCUGCGUCAUCUGCACUGGUAUCAACGGCACCUGCAACUAGUUUUGGAAGUAAACUGUGAGUCACGGGGACUCAGCAAUCUCACACCCUCGUGAUCAAGAUUAUUUAAGGUUAUGGGUAGGAAAGGGUAGUGAGGUGGAGCUACAGCAAGCACUAGCAUAUAUGGUGGAAAACUUACACAAAUGAGAGCGAGAAGAGAAGCAAAGCAUGGUCGAUAAACUAUCAUGAUCAAGAAGUGAUCCUGAAACAACUUAUGUUCAAGCAUAACACGAGACCGUGUUCUCUUCCCGGACUCCGCCGAAAAGAGACCAUCACGGCUACACACGCAGUUGAUUCAUUUCAAUUAAGUUUAGUUUCAGGUUUUCUACAACCGGAUAUUAACAAAUUCCCAUCUGCCCAUAACCACGGGCACAACUUUCAAAAGUUCAAAACCCUGCAGGGGUGUCCCAACUUAGCCCAUCACAAGCUCUCACAGUCAACGAAGGAUAUUGCUUCUCUCAGGAAGACCCGAUCAGACUCGGAAUCCCGGUUACAAGACAUUUUGACAAUGGUAAAACAAGACUAGCAAAGCCGCCCAGAUGUGCUGACAAAUCCCGAUAGUAGCUGCACAUAUCUCGUUCUCAGGGCACACUGGAUGAGCAAGACGUCGGGUUGGCAUAGACCCUGGUUGCCCAGGGGGCGCCGGACAUCACUCAGGUUGGACCAACACUUAGAGAAGCANNNNNNNNNNNNNNNNNNNNNNNNNNNNNNNNNNNNNNNNNNNNNNNNNNNNNNNNNNNNNNNNNNNNNNNNNNNNNNNNNNNNNNNNNNNNNNNNNNNNNNNNNNNNNNNNNNNNNNNNNNNNNNNNNNNNNNNNNNNNNNNNNNNNNNNNNNNNNNNNNNNNNNNNNNNNNNNNNNNNNNNNNNNNNNNNNNNNNNNNNNNNNNNNNNNNNNNNNNNNNNNNNNNNNNNNNNNNNNNNNNNNNNNNNNNNNNNNNNNNNNNNNNNNNNNNNUGCAGAACCCAAGGGGAAGGUGAUAGGUUGUUAGUGCAAAUGUAAAACCAAGGUUGGGCCUUGCUGGAGGAUUUUUAUUCAAAGCAAACUGUUAAGGGGUUCCCAUUAUAACCCAACCACGUAAGGAACGCAAAAUCAAGGAACGUAACACCAGUAUGACGGAAACUAGGGCGGCAAGAGUGGAACAAAACACCAGGCAUAAGGCCGAGCCUUCCACCCUUUACCAAGUAUAUAGGUGCAUUAAAGUAAACAAGGUAUAAUAAUGAUGUACCAAUAAUAUCCAUGUUCCAACAUGGAACAAACUUCAUCUUCACCUGCAACUAGCAACGCUAUAAGAGGGGCUGAGCAAAGCGGUAACAUAGCCAAACAAUGGUUUGUUAGGAAAGGUGGGUUAGAGGUUUGACAUGGCAAUAUGGGAGGCAUGAUAUAGCAAGUGGUAGGUAUCAUGGCAUAGCAAAAGAGAGAGCAACUAACAAGCAAAGAUAGAAGUGAUUUCGAGGGUAUGGUCAUCUUGCCUGCAAAGUUUUCCGAGUUGACGUAAGCUUGUUCCUCGUAAGCGACUCAACAGGUUCCUCGAUCACGUACUCGUCUCCCGGCUCUACGCAAAGCAAGAACACAAGCAAAGGGAACAACAAUCAACCACGGUGCAAUGCGCAAGCAACAUGAUGCAAAACAUGGCAUGAUAUGCGGGAUGUGAUAUGCAAUAAAUAUGCGAGCUCUGGAAUGAAAAUAUUGAACCAGGACUCAACUUGGCAAACCAAGUGCGCUGUUGGAAAGAUGAGUUGAUUUUGGUCGAAAUCGAUAUAAAGAUCACCGGAAUCGGAUGCACGUUUGCAAAUGGCAAGCAAAACAAGAAUGGCACAAUUCUGCGAUUAACAGCACGAUGUCAUCUAGAAUGCAACAAGAAACUAAGCUACUGCACUCUAACAUAGCAACAAAACACAUGGCAGUGAUCUAAUCAAGAUGCUUGACAAAAGAUGGACACUGAACUACGGCUAAAUCACACAAGAGCAGGUUCAAACAAGCAUGGCAAAAGUGCAAAAGAUAUCAGCAUCACAUACUUGGUGAAAAUAACAACAUGCCAGAAAUUAACAUCAGGAAGACAUGUUUAGAGCAAGCUAACAACAUGCUACAAGAAAAUAUCAUAGAAAUACAAGGCACGGCAUGAAUAUAAUCAAAGCAUAGAACAAAAGUCCUUUAGUGACCAUAAGCCAAAAAGGAUCAGAAGAUAUGAUGGCACCCAUGUAAACAUAACAAGUUUCGUUAACAGAUUCAGACUUAGCAGAAAAACUGGACAUGGCAUAAACAGAAUUAUGAAGGCAUGUUUGCGAGCUUGAUGCACUCAUCACAAGGCAUUGCAUGACAAGAUAAGCAUACUACCAGCAAGAAGACAUGUUCAUGAAGCUAUAAAAGUAAGAACAAGCUCAUAGCAUGCAUGGAUCAACUACAACAACCUUGGCAAAAUUGAUUAACAUGUAAACAAUCUGCCAGGAACAUUUUAUAGCAAAAGUAGAGCAAGAUUGAUUCAUGCUAUGGCACUCCAUAAAUGCACACAGGGGCAUGGAUGGAUAGAGCACAACCAUAUGUGCAAAUCAUCGUUACUGAACAUACUCAAAAGAAGCAUGGAUAUCUCUGUAGCAACAUGAAUACAUGGCAUCAAAAUAACAGCAGGGAAAUGACUUAGUGAAAUUCUAAGUCUCUAAAAACAGAAACAUCACGAGAGCUACUUUGCAUGCAUGUGCUAGUCACCACAUUGAUCACAAAAUACAUGGCAUACACCCCUGUAAAGAUGGCAUGGCAUAGCCCAAAACACAUGUAGAGCUCAUGCCCAUAUGAAGCACACAAUAAAUGUAGCAAAAAAGACAAAUGCUCAUAAUCUGCUAAGUAACAGGAACUAACAUUUUAUAGCACUCUUGCAUCAACAAUUUGGGCAUCAAGAUGGACUCAAACAAGCAUGGCACAAUGGAAAAAAAUGAAGAGCACAUCAUGAUGAACAUUUUGAUAUAUCAUGCAUGCAAAACGGUGCUACGGUCAUGGAGUUAUUAUGCGAUGAACAUGGCCUAAAAAUAAGAGGGGGAAAAGGACUUAGUAGAAAUUAGACCUUGCGGGAAAAUGGACGAAGGGGUUUGGGACGAGUAGAUCCAGGGCGCGGGGGCGCGUUUGGUUCAGAUCCCGGUGGAUCUCGUCCCACCUGGACGGAUUUGACCGGAUCCGAACUCCGGUGCGGGCGGCGGCCUCUGGCGAGGAACGAAGGCGGCGGCAGGCGCUGCGGUGGCGAGGUCGGUGGAGGACGCCGGCGGGGUUGAGAGGCAGCGCGCGAUGGCGAAGAAAGGCCGGCGUGUUCGGCUCAGGCGGCGGCGGGAGACGGAGGCGCGGAGCGGAGGCGGGAGGCGACCGAUGCCGGAGUGGAGGCGCGCCAGUGACCUCGGGCGCGAGCGGCGGCGUUGCGUGCCUCGGGUGGCGUGCGGGCGCGUUGACCUGUGCCGGCGGCGGCGGCGGGUGCACGGGCCGAGGAGGGCCCAACUUGGGCCUGGCGGGCCCUUGGUAGUGGCGGGGGAGAGAGAGGGCGGUGGCGCGCUGAGGUGGCGGCGGAGGAUUGGGAGCGGGGCGUCCGGCCGGUGAGGUGGCGGCGGAUGAUUGGCUGGGGUGACGCGUCCGGCGGACACGUCCGGCGCGAACGGACUUGUCCGGCGGCGCGAGGAAGAGGAAGGCUAGGGUUUCAUCCGUGAAUUUUUGGGGGGAGGUGCAAAUAUAUAGGUAGAGGGAGCUAGGAGAGUCCAAAUGAGGUGCGGUUUUCGGCCACGCGAUCAUGAUCAAACGACCAAGAGAAUAGAGGGGGUUUGGAUGGGUUAUUGGGCCACUUUGAAGGGGUGUUGGGCUGAAACACACAUGAGGCCUUUACGGUUCCCCGGUUAACCGUUGGAGUAUCAAACGGACUCCAAAUGACACGAAAUUUGACAGGCGGUCUACCGGUUGUAUACCAAGGCCGUUUGGCAAAUCUCGGUCCAUUCCGAGAAAGUUUAACACCCGCACACGAAAAGAUACAAAAGAGAGCGCCGGAGGACGUAGGAGUGCCGGAUUGCAAAACGAACAACGGGGAAAAUGCUCGGAUGCAUGAGACGAACACAUAUGCAAAUGCGAUGCACAUGAUGACAUGAUAUGAAAUGCAUGACAUGAACAGAAUGCAAAAAAAAGACAAGAACCCAACCACGAAUCUCAGAACACCUCUCUGGAAAAGGCAAGAGUCGGAGUACAAAUAUGGAAAGUUGUAUCCAAGGCGUUACAGUGAUCGUGCGGCGCACCUGACAUAGGCUCGAAUCCUUCGAAGAUCAAGUCUCUGCGGAUGUCGGUAGUGUAGUUUAAGUUUCUGAACCUGACCUGAUGGCCAGGGGCGUAGCUCUCGAUAUGAUCCAGGUGGACAAGCGAGUCGGCCCGCAGUGCGAGGCCGCCGAAUAUGAAGAUCUGUCCAGGGAGGAAAUCCUCACAUUGGACCGCAUCAUUACCAAUGAUCGAAGGAGCCAUCAAGCCUUACAGUGACGACACAGUGGAACUCUCAAUGAAAGCACCAAUGUCGGUGUCAAAACCGGCGGAUCUCGGGUAGGGGGUCCCGACCUGUGCGUCUAAGACGGAUGGUAACAGGAGGCAGGGGACACGAUGUUUACCCAGGUUCGGGCCCUCUCGAUGGAGGUAAUACCCUACGUCCUGCUUGACUGAUCGUGAUGAUAUGAGUAUUACAAGAGUUGAUCUACCCCGAGAUCAUAGAGGCUAAACCCUAGAAGCUAGCCUAUGGUAUGACUGUAUGUUGUCCUACGGACUAAACCCUCCGGUUUAUAUAGACACCGGAGGGGGCUAGGGUUACACAAAGUCGGUUACAAGGGAGGAGAUCUACAUAUCUGUAUUGCCAAGCUUGCCUUCCACGCCAAGGAGAGUCCCAUCCAGACACGGGACGAAGUCUUCAAUCUUGUAUCUUCAUAGUCCAACAGUCCGGCCAAAGGAUAUAGUCCGGCUGUCCGGAGACCCCCUAAUCCAGGACUCCCUCAACACCCAUAGUUCACAUUGCCAUGUGACCAACACCCAAUGGGUUUACUAGAGUCAAUAAUCUAGUUCACAUUGCUAUGCGAUUAACACCCUGAUGUCUACUAUGCAACUUUAUUCUUGUAGACAUGUGUUGGGCCUCCAAGCGCAGAGUUUUGUAGGACAAUAGCAAUUUUCCCUCAAGUGGAUGACCUAAGAUUUAUCAAUCCGUGAGAGGUGUAGGAUGAAGAUGGUCUCUCUUGAACGACCCUGCAACCAAAUACAAGAAAUCUCUCGUGUCCCCAACACACCCAAUACAAUGGGAAUUGUAUAGGUGCACUAGUUCGUCGAAGAGAUGGUGAUAAAAGUGUAAUAUGGAUGGUAGAAAUAUAUUUUUAUAAUCUAAAUAAAUAAAAACAGCAAGGUAGCAAAUAGUAAACAGGCACAAAAAUAGUGUUUUAAUGCUUAAAAACAAGGCCUAGGGUCCGUACUUUCGCUAGUGCAAUCUCUCAACAAUGCUAACAUAGUUGGAUCAUAUGAUUAUCCGUCAAAGUGUAACAAAGAAUCACUCCCGAGUUCCUAUUAGCGGACAACAAAAGAUAGGAAUUGUUUGUAGGGUACUAAACCACCUGAAAGCUAUUCUUUCCGUUCAAUCUAUUCAAGAUUUCGUACUAAAAUAACACCAAGCUAUUGUUUCCGUUCGAUCUAUCCUAGAGUUCGUACUAGAAUAACACCAUCAUAUUCAUAAUACUCAAUCCACACAAAGAACUACAAGAAUGCCCCAAGAUUUCUACCAGAGAAACAAGGACAGGAAUGUGCAUCAACCCCUAUGCAUAUAUUACCCCAAUGUCACCGCGGGAAUCCGCAAGUUGAGUGCCAAAACAUAUAUCAAGUGAAUCAACACGAUACCCCAUUGUAACCACGAGUAUUCAAUUGCAAGACAUAUAUCAAGUGUUCUCAAAUCCAUAAAAGUAUUCAAUCCGAUAACCACGAAAUAUCAAAGGGAAAAACUCAAUUCAUCACAACAAGAUAGAGAGGGGAAAACACCAUAUGAUCCGACUAUAUUAACAAAGCCCGCGAUACAUCAAGAUCGUGACAUCUCAAGAACACGAGAGAGAGAGAGAGAGAGAGAGAGAGAGAGAGAGAUUAAACACGUAGCUACUGGUACAAACCCUCAGCCCUGAGGGUGGACUACUCCCUCCUCGUCGUGGUGGCUGCCGGGCUGAUGAAGAUGGCCACGAGAGAUGAUUCCCCCUCCGGCAGGGUGCCAGAAUGAGUCUAGAUUUGUUUUUGGUGGCUACGGAGCCCUGUGGCGGCGGGACUUCUGAUCUAGUUUAGCCCCGAGGGGUUUCAGAAUAUUUGGGAAUUUAUAGUGCAAAGAAGGGGUAUGGGAGGCCACCGAGGUGGGCACAACCCACCUGGGCGCGCUAGGUGGGCCUCGCGCCUUGGUGGGUUGUGCCCCCCUCGAGGCACCUCCUAGGUGCUGCUCUGGCCCAAGGGGUUCCUUCUAGUCAAUAAAAUAUCCACAAAAAGUUUCGCGGUGUUUAGACUCCGUUUGAUAUUGAUUUUCUGGGAUGUAAAAAACAAGCAAAAAACAACAACUGGCACUGGGCACUGGAUCAAUAGGUUAGUCCCAAAAAAUAUAUAUAAAGUUGCUAUAAAAUGAUUGUAAAACAUCCAAGAAUGAUAAUAUAUUGGCAUGAAUACUUCAUAAAUUAUAGAUAUGUUGGAGACGUAUCAGCAUCCCCAAGCUUAAUUCCUACUCGUCCUUGAGUAGGUAAAUGAUAAAAUAAAUAAUUUAUGAAGUGUGAAUGCUAGCAAAGUGCACAAGUUUGAUCAAUGAUAAUUCAAUCACUUUCCCUAGCAUCAUAACAACAAUUAUUUCUUAUGAAAAUUCUCAUGUUAUAGUGGCAACCUGUAACAUCCCAAUUUUCAAUUUGGAUGUUAUACCUAGGUCAUCAUAUGCAUAUUAUAUUUUCUUUUGCAUUUGGUUGUGAUCCUAGAAAUCUUAAGCAACUCAAGGACCCAAGGAGAGAGUUGAAGGUUUCGCUAAAAUUUCAUAUUUGAAUAAAGGAUCAAUUUGAUUUUAAUAUUUUCCCUCCAAUUAUUUUCAAAAACAAAAAUAAAUGAGAGAAGAUAAUAUGACUUCUUCAACAAGAGAGAAAUAUUGGAGGAGAAAUUUUAAAAUCAAAUUCUAUUUUAUUUGCUAUUUUAUUUGAAUUAGAAAAAAACAUAUGCAUUUUUAGGUCAGAAAAAUGUUCAUCUUGUCCUAAAUAUUAGGUUUGGACGGUGAUUUUUUUUGAUAUUUUUUAGAUUUUUUUAUAUUUUAUUAGGAUUUUUAUUUCGGACUUUUUUUUAAAAUCUUUUCGGACCGAUCGGGCCGAAGGCCGAGCCACCGCCUUCCCCGCACGCCCGCGCCGCCGUGGCCGAGCCGGAGUCCAACUUUGACUCCGCCGGCCACCGUUGCCCCCUCACCAAGCCACCGCCCCGACCCUUUGUAAGCUGAGCCCCCCUCUCUUUCUCACCACCGCCGCCCGCCGCCUCCCGUCGCAGCAGCCUCAGCCGGAGCCGCCGCCGCAGCCGCUAGCCGUCACUGCCGUUCGUCGCCGUCACCGCAGCCGCCUCCCCACACUGCUAACCGCCGCCUCAUCGGAGCCAUGCCGGAUCUCACGUUGACCUCGCCGUCAAUAUUCUACGGUUAACCGGUAAAAUUCGUUUGAUUUUCUUUUGCUUUUUUCGGUUUGGAUUAGAUUGGUUUUUUACUUACUAGGUUAAUUAGCAAACGUUCACCGGUUAGAUCGUUUUAAUGAACAAUUUUCGUUCGUUAGUUCCUGUUAGCGAACGUUCAUUCAUUAGGUUUUUCUUUUUAUUUUAAUUUUCGGCCAGGGACCUAUCCGUGAAUACUUUUAUCAUAGAUUUGUCCCUAAACUUCAAACCCUCGUUCUUUUUUGCUUGUUUGUCCAAAUCCAGUGAAACCAACGCCAAAAUCUUCGUCUUGUUUCCCUCUUUCCAGAUAAUCAACUUAAACAUGGUUUUGACAAUUUAACAUUUGCUUUCAAGAAGAUUUGAAUUCGAACUUCUCUUGAUUGUAGUUUGAGUUUCGUAACUCCGUUUUGAUUGAUUCUUUUUGCAAAUCGAAGGUCUUUACUUAUAUUGCUACGCUAUGCUCGUAGACGUGGAUUGGUUUGAGAGAAUUCAUGAAGAUGUGAGAGUUAUUAUUAAUUAAUAGUUAACUUAAGGUGGAAACUUUAAUACACAUCUGGGUGGAUUGGUUGGGGCACCCUGGAGCACCCAGUGGUUGUCCGGACACUUGGAACAAUCCAGUGUUGUCCUAGGAUAUCCUGGAGUACCCGUGUGAUCAUCCUAUGGUUUGCCACCCAGGCUCAAAGGGAUCAUAAGAUUAUUCAUGCUAGAAACUUCUGUGUGCAGCCACAAGCCAUUAUGGGCUCUGGCAUAGUUGAGUAAGUUGCGGGAAACCUUUCCAUGAUGGGCUAGCAGAUGUAGGGGAUUGUAGGUGUACCGGCCUAUCUAUCGGUUAAGGGGACCUCUUCGAAAACACUGUGUCUCGGUCAUCCAUUUCUCAAACACCAUGCAGUGUAGGAAAUACAACGGAGGAGAUCGAGUCUUGUGGGGAAAAGUGCGCAAACCUCUGCAGAGUGUACAAACUAAUCAUGGUUAGCCGUGUCCCCGGUUAUGGACAUCUUGAGUAUCUGGUACUUGAAUUAUUGAUUUGAUCUCAUCACUUUACUUAAUUAAUUUGUUGGGUUUUAACUACUAUUUUGGGAUUGAGUUGGAGGAACCUUCUCAAUGUUUCAACAAACUUUGUAGUUAAAUAAAAUAUAUUCCUUUGUUGUAGGGAAAAACUAGCUUUAUGCAAAUGAUAACCAUAUAGCCUCGACCAGCCAUAUAUGCAUGUAGUGAUAGCUGUUAUUUGUUCAUUGCUCUAUAGUGUUAUUUUGCCAGCAUAUUCCAUGUGCUGACCUACACAGGCUGCAACAUAUUAUGUUGCAGAGUUUUUAGACGAAGAGUAAGGUGCGCUAGGUCGUUGUCAUGCACUCAGUUUUGCCAUGGAGUUGGAUGGACUCUACUACCUUCGAAGCUUCCGCUGUUAUCUUAUUUAGAUGGCCUUCAGCCAUAUUAUUGUAAUAAGUUCUCUUUUGAGACAUUCAAUGUAAUAAGUGUGUGAUUGAACUCUGUUAUAAAUCCUCGAGUACUGUGUGUGUCAGCAAUACCGAUCCAGGGAUGACACUUAAGCACAGAGACUUGACCGUCUGAGGUCGGGUUGCUACACAACCAAUUCACAUGUUAAGGUUCAAACAAUGAAUUCUCUUGAAACUCAACAACCUAUGUUCUUAGUCACCAAGCAAUUGCAAUUCAACUUAUGCAACGGAGUUUAAGUAAGAGCUCCACAUACUCAACCAUCAUGUAGUCUUCUAUGAUUGCUAACACUCACCUUGUACACAUGAGCAAAACGUUUCAACCGGACACAUAGAAAUAUAGAGGCUUAUAAUUUCGCCUCCCAAUGUAUUCACCUCAAGGGUGAUGUCAACAAUAAUAACUCAUGCUACCCAUAUUCAACUGGACAUAUGUGCCUAGAUCUUUCCUCACCACAUGAUUCUUGACAAAAGAGAAAAAUAAAAAGGAAUAGAGAGAAAAAUCUUGACUCUUGCAUAAAAGUAAAUACAUAAAAGUAAAAGAUAGGCCCUUUGCAGAGGAAAGUAGGGAUUUGUAGAGGUGCCAGAGCUCAAAGCGAAAAUUGAGAGAUAAAAACAUUUUGAGAGGCAUACUUUUCCCACCAAUGAAAAUGACUUAGAGCUCCCAACACUUUCCAUGCUAGAUAUAUCAUAGGCGGUUCCCAAAUAAAAAAUAAAGUUUAUUCCUUUUUCCACCAUACUUUCACUUUCCAUGGCUAACCGUAUCCAUGGGUGCCCUUCAUACUAACACUUUCCAAGGAAUUUAUUAUUUGACAACAUAAAGUAAAUUCAUUUUUCAUUUUGGGACUGGACAUCCCUAAUACCUUUGCCUUACUCUCGUGCAAUGACAAGUGAAUAAACACUCAUCGUGAGAAUAACACAUCUAGCAUGGAAAAUAUUGGCCACCGUCACCGCUUCACGAGCGGUACAAGCACAUAAAAGAGAAAUUUAUUUUGAAAAUUAGAGAUGGCACAUACAAAUUUGCUUAGAAGGGCAAAAGAAUACUGCAUAUAGGUAGGUAUGGCGGACUCUUGAAAAUAAGAUUUGGGUUUAAGGGUUUUUGGAUGCACAAGUAGUAUUUCUACUUGGUGCGGAAUUUUUGGCUAGCAAAGAUGGGGGGCAAGAUCACAUGUUGAAGGAUCUAUGACAAUAUAACUUCUAUGUGAAUAUGAACAAACAUAAACCAUUACGUUGUCUUCCUUGUCCAAUGUCAACAAUUUUGGCAUAUAAUAUUUUGAUGGGGGCUCACAAUCACAAAAUAUUUCCAUGAUAGUGUAUUUGCAUGUGAAAGUUCUCUUCCUUAUACUAAUUAUUCGUGAAUUGCUUGUAUGACCAAUAUUGUGAUUGUCAAGCCUCAAAAGAUUUCACUUUCUAAACCCAAUGUGAAGUUACCACUAGGCAUGAUAUAAUUUCAACUUCAUGACAUUCAAUUCAUUCAACAAUUUACUCAUAGGAUAUAAGUGAAGCACAAGAGUAAAUGACAUAGAAAAGAGCUUCGUUGACGGGAUGUGAAUGCCGCUUACUUAGCCUCCCUGGCAACUAUUUGAUGACUCUAUUUUAUUUAAAGACUUUAAUAUCUAAGUACUUUAAUAAAAAACAAGCAAAAAUAAAAUAAAAUGACAAUCCAAGGAUGGCAAACAUCAUGUGAAGAAGCAAAAACUUAGGCUCAACCAAUACUAACCGAUAAUUGUUGAAGAGGAAAGGUGGGAUGCCUAUCGGGGCAUCCCCAAGCUUAGAUGCUUGAGAACUCUUGAAAUAUUAUCUUGGGGUGCCUUGGGCAUCCCCAAGCUUGAGCUUUUGUGUCUCCUUAAUUCCUAUCAUAUCACGGUUUUCCUAAAUCUCAAAAGCUUCAUCCACACAAAACUCAACAAGAACUCGUGAGAUAAGUUAGUAUAAACCAAUGCAAAAACCUUAUCAUUCUCUACUAUAUAAAAUCACUAAAAUUAUUAUUCAACAUUGCAUACUAAAUGCCUCUGCAUAUUUAAUACUCCUAUCCUUAAAUAGAAUAAUUAAACAAGCAAACAUAUGCAAACAUAACAUCAAUCUGCCAAAAUAGUACAGUCUAUAAAGAAUACAAGAGCAUCAAAACUUAUUAAACUCCAAACAUUAUGAAAAAUUACCACACUGUAGAAAAUUUAUCAGAGCUCAUUUUGCAAAAAGUUCAAACAUUUUAUAACAUUCUUACUUUUCUAGGGAAUUUUUGCAACAGCGGUAAACUUUCUGUUUUCAAACAGCAACAUGUAUACUUGCAAAAUAAGCAUGGCAAAGGCUAUCAUUGCCACGUUUAUUGAAAUACAAGAUGCAAAACAUUAUUCUAAAUAAUAGAAAGAAAAUACUAACAAAAUAAAAUGAUGCUCCAAGCAAAACACAUAUCAUGUGACGAAUGAAAACAUAGCUCCAAGUGAGGUUACCGAUAAUGUUGGAUACGAAAGAGGGGAUGCCUUCCGGGGCAUCCCCAAGCUUAGUUGCUUGGAUCUUCCUUGGGGUGCCUCGGGAAUACCCAAGCUUAGGGUCUUCUCACUCCUUAUUCUCCUCAUAUCGAUAUCUCACCCAAAACUUGGAAACUUCAAUCAGACAAAACUUAACGGAACUUUGUGAGAUAGGUUAGUGUGAUAAAGAGCAAACCAUUUCACUUUGGUACUAUCAAAGACAAGAUUCAUAAUUGUUUCCACACAAUGCAUAAUGUAUCAUAUCAUUUCCACAAUUUAUAUUGAGCAAUAUAAGCCGUGGAAACUAGAAAACAAGCAAACUAUGUAUUGAAAACAGAAUCUGUCAAAAAAAGAACAGUCUGUAGUAAUCUGUACUCAAACCAUACUUCUGCUACUCCAAAAAUUCUGAAAAAUUAAUAAAAACUAAGAAAUUUGUCUAUUAAUCUUCUUCAAAAAGAAUCAACAUUUUAUCACACUUAUGCUAAAAAUGAGAAUUCUUUUCCUGAGUGCAAAAGUUUCUGUUUUUCAGCAAGAUCAAAUCAACUAUCACCGUAAGCCAUCCCAAAGGUCUUACUUGGCACUUUAUUGAAACAAAAGUAAUAAAACAUGAUUACUACAGUAGCCUAAUCAUGUGAACACACAAAAAUAGUAGGUAAAAGUGUUGGUUGUCUCCCAACAAGCGCUUUUCUUUAAUGCCUUUUAUGCUAGGCAUGAUGAUUUCAAUGAUGCUCGCAUAAAAGAUAAGAAUUAAAACUUAAAGAGAGCAUCAUGAAGCAUAUGACUAGCACAUUUAAGUCUAACACACUUCCUAUGCAUAGGGAUUUUGUGAGUAAACAACUUAUGGGAACAAUAAUCAACUAGCAUAGGAAGGCAAAACAAGCAAAACUUGAAAAUUUUCAACACAUGGAGAGGAAACUUGAUAUUAUUGCAAUACCUACAAGCAUACAUUCCUCCCUCAUAAUAAUUUUCAGUAGAAUCAUGAAUGAAUUCAACAAUGUAACUCUCACAUAAAGCAUUCUUUUCAUGAUGCAUAAGCAAAGAAAUUUUGUUACUCUCCACAUAAGCAAAUUUCUUCUCAUCAAUAGUAGUGGGAGAAAACUCAACAAAAUAACUAUCAUGAGAGUGAAAAUUAAAAUCAUGAUGACAAGUUUCAUGGUUAUCAUUAUUCUUUAUAGCAUAAAUGUCAUCUCCAUAAUCAUCAUAGAUAGAAACUUUCUUCUCAUAAUCAAUUGGAACCUCUUCCGAAAUAGUGUAUUCAUCACUAAAUAAAGUCAUGACCUCUCCAAAUCCACUUUCAUAAUCAAGACAAUAAGAUUCAACACCCUCCAAAAUAGUGGGAUCAUUACUUCGUAAAGUUGACACUCUUCCAAACCCACUUUCAUCAAUAUAAUCAUCAUAAAUAGGAGGCAUGCUUUCAUCAUAAUAAAUUUGCACAUCAAAACUUGGGGGACAAAAAAUAUCAUCUUCAUCAAACAUAUCAUCCCCAAGCUUAUGGCUUUGCAUAUCAUUUGCAUCAUGGAUAUUCAAAGAAUUCAUACUAACAACAUUGCAAUCAUGCUCAUCAUUCAAAUAUUUUGUGCCAAACAUUUUAUUGACUUCUUCUUCUAACAAUUGAGCACAAUUUUCCGAAACAUCAUUUUCAAGAAAGAUAAAAUAAAGAUCAAUAAUAUGAUGCAACCUCAAUUCCAUUUUUAUGUAGUUUUGUUUUAUAAACCAAACUAGUGAUAAUACAAGAAACUAAAAGAUUCAAUUGCAAGAUCUAAAGAUAUACCUUCAAGUACUCACCUCCCCAGCAACGCCGCCAGAAAAGAGCUUGAUGUCUACUAUGCAACUUUAUUCUUAUAGACACAUGUUGGGCCUUGAUACGUCUCCAACGUAUCUAUAAUUUUUGAUUGUUCCAUGCCAUUAUAUUAUCAAACUUGGAUGUUUUAUAUGCUAUUUUAUAUGAUUUUUGGGACUAACCUAUUAACCUAGAGCCCAGUGCCAGUUUCUGUUUUUUUCCUUGUUUUAGAGUAUCGCAGAAAUGGAAAAUCAAACGGAGUCCAAUUGACCUGAAACUUCACGAAACUUAUUUUUGGACGAGAAGAAGCCCACGGAGUAUCGGAGAUGGACCAGGAGAGUCUCGGGCUGCCCACGAGGGUGGGGGGCACGCCCACCCUCUGCCCGCGCCCCCUGCCUCGUGGACAGCUCGGAGGUCCACCGACGUACUUCUUCCUCCCAUAUAUACCCAUAUACCCUAAAAACUUCAGGGAGCACAAUAGAUCGGGAGUUCCGCCACCAGAAGCCUCUGUAGCCACCGAAAGCCAAUCUAGACCCGUUCCGGCACCCUGCCGGAGGGGGAAUCCUUCUCCGAUGGCCAUCUUCAUCAUCCCGGUGCUCUCCAUGACAAGGAGGGAGUAGUUCUCCCUCGGGGCUAAGGGUAUGUACCAGUAGCUAUGUGUUUGAUCUCUCUCUCUCUCUCUCUCUCUCUCUCGUGUUCUUGAGGUGAUACGAUCUUGAUGUAUCGCGAGCUUUGCUAUUAUAGUUGGAUCUUAUGAUGUUUCUCCCCCUCUACUCUCUUGUAAUGGAUUGAGUUUUCCCUUUGAAGUUAUCUUAUUGGAUUGAGUCUUUAAGGAUUUGAGAACACUUGAUGUAUGUCUUGCGUGGGAUACCCGUGGUGACAAUGGGGUAUUCUAUUGAUGCACUUGAUGUAUGUUUUGGUGAUCAACUUGUGGGUUCCGUGACCUUGGGAAUCUAUGCAUAGGGGUUGGCACACGUUUUCGUCUUGACUCUCCGGUAGAAACUUUGGGGCAUUCUUUGAGGUUCUAUGUGUUGGUUGAAUAGAUGAAUCUGAGACUGUGUGAUGCAUAUCAUAUAAUCAUACCCACGGAUACUUGAGGUGACAUUGGAGUAUCUAGGUGACAUUAGGGUUUUGGUUGAUUUGUGUCUUAAGGUGUUAUUCUAGUACGAACUCUAGGGAUGUUUGUGACACUUAUAGGAAUAGCCCAAUGGAUUGAUUGGAAAGAAUAACUUUGAGGUGGUUUCGUACCCUACCAUAAUCUCUUCGUCUGUUCUCCGCUAUUAGUGACUUCGGAGUGACUCUUUGUUGCAUGUUGAGGGAUAGUUAUGUGAUCCAAUUAUGUUAUUAUUGUUGAGAGAACUUGCACUAGUGAAAGUAUGAACCCUAGGCCUUGUUUCCUAGAAUUGAAAUAACGUUAGUGCUCACUUUUAUCAUUAGUUACCUUGCUGUUUUUAUAUUUUCAGAUUACAAAAACCUUUAUCUACCAUCCAUAUACCACUUGUAUCACCAUCUCUUCACCGAACUAGUGCACUUAUACAAUUUACCAUUGUAUUGGGUGUGUUGGGGACACAAGAGACUCUUUGUUAUUUGGUUUCAGGGUUGCUUGAGAGAGACCAUCUUCAUCCUACGCCUCCUACGGAUUGGUAAACCUUAGGUCAUCCACUUGAGAGAAAUUUGCUACUGUCCUACAAACCUCUGCACUUGGAGGCCCAACAACGUCUACAAGAAGAAGGUUGUGUAGUAGACAUCAAGCUCUUUCUAGCGCCGUUGCCGGGGAGGUUAGCGCUUGAAGAUAUAUCUUUAGAUCUUGCAAUGGAAUCUUUUUGUUUCUUGUUUUAGCAUUAGUUUAGUUUAUAAAAGAAAACUAAAAAAAAA
RNAcentral lists this long non-coding RNA (50025 nucleotides) under Triticum aestivum (bread wheat). RNAcentral describes it as "long non-coding RNA (TAES_LNC006124)". The record is from RNAcentral. Lineage: Eukaryota; Viridiplantae; Streptophyta; Magnoliopsida; Poales; Poaceae.